Cavia porcellus (domestic guinea pig) is the source of this 64531-nucleotide RNA transcript. It is a transcript of the gene named protocadherin 7, with no coding region annotated. The record is from RefSeq and is a predicted model, not a curated record. Lineage: Eukaryota; Metazoa; Chordata; Mammalia; Rodentia; Caviidae. The transcript has 3 exons.
GGGAGAGAGAGGCUGCAAUCUCCUCCCUGAAUCGCGCACGGCGCUGCAGAUCCCGGAGCUCCGACACGCGGGCCGAAUGCAGGUGAGGGAAGGCACGGACUCUGCGGCUGCGAACCCAAACUUGGGCACCGCGCGGUGCGCACGCUUCAGCCCUCGCCUCCACCGGCCAGAGGCUGCUGCGGUUUCAGGCGGAGGCUUCGUGACUAAUGACCUUGCGCAGAGUUGUUAGAAAAGAGAAAGCCGAGGAGCUCUCGCGGGGGAGAAGCGACCGACUCUGGGCGUCUGUCUCUGAAGAUGGUUCGGGCUUCUCUCCUGCGCGCCGGGGGGACCCGGACGCGGACCGCGCGGUGACGCGAGUAGUCUUCCCCGCACUGUGCCCGGAGCGACCUGCCAGAUAUUUUUUUUUUUUUUUUUUUUUUUCAUUCUUGUUCUGCUGACUGACUGCCCGGCUGCCUAGAGGAGUGAGAGUUGAGACUGGCUUGCUGCUGACCACAGAGCCUCGUGCUGGAAGAGGCUCACGUUUUGCCUGGGCAUCCGUAGCUGGAGCGGAGACCGGAUCUUAGAGUGAGCGGCUGGAACGGGACCGGACUCAACUCGAGUAGCAGCGGCGACUGGCGGGGCUGGCAAGCGGAGGACACUGCAGGCUCGCUCCCCGCCGCUCCCAGCUCCUCCGGCCGCCGGCAGAAGCGGUUCUGGCCCGCUCCGACCGAGAGGGGACGCAGCCAGGGUUCCUCCUCCGGCUGCGGGGAUGACUUUCAGGGGGCGGGGGGCGCCGAGCCCGCGGCGCGCAGUGUCCCGUGAACUGUGAGUACUGCGACUGAACGGCGGCCGGCGAGCGGGCGAUUAGCACCCAUUGCAUGAAUUAUGAAACAAUAACUUUCGGAAGAAGCAGGAGAAAAAAAAAAAAAAAAACAACGAUCUAUUGCUGCACCCCCCACCUCAUCCGCCGACUCUACACGCUGCUCCUGCCCCCUCCCUCCCCGCUCCCCUCCUGAUUCUUCCGUUCCCGGGGAGGAGAGAGCACUGGGGGAGGGCAGGUGGCCAGCCCUGGAGGAGGGGGCGCCGAGGGCGCAGUGGUCAGAAGGAGCAGUAGCAGCAGCAGCAGGAGAAGAUGCUGAGGAUGCGGACGGCGGGAUGGGCGCGCGGCUGGUGCUUGGGCUGCUGCCUCCUCCUGCCGCUCUGGCUUAGCCUGGCGGCCUCCAAGCAACUCCUCCGGUACCGGCUAGCCGAGGAGGGCCCCGCCGACGUCCGGAUCGGCAACGUCGCCUCGGACCUGGGCAUCGUGACCGGCUCCGGUGAGGUGACUUUCAGCCUGGAGUCAGGCUCUGAGUACCUGAAGAUCGACAACCUCACCGGCGAGCUGAGCACCAGCGAGCGGCGCAUCGACCGCGAGAAGCUCCCCCAGUGUCAGAUGAUCUUCGACGAGAACGAGUGCUUCCUGGACUUCGAGGUGUCGGUGAUCGGGCCCUCGCAGAGCUGGGUGGACCUGUUUGAGGGUCGGGUCAUCGUGCUGGACAUCAACGACAACACGCCCACCUUCCCGUCGCCCGUGCUCACGCUCACAGUGGAGGAGAACCGGCCUGUGGGCACGCUCUACCUGCUGCCCACCGCCACCGACCGUGACUUCGGCCGCAACGGCAUCGAGCGCUACGAACUGCUGCAGGAGCCCGGGGGCGGCGGCGGCGGCGAGGGCCGGCGCUCCUUGCCGGCCGACAGCGCCCCCUACCCCGGGGGCGGCGGGAACGGCGCUGGCGGCGGCGGCGGCGGCCCGGGAGGCUCCAAGCGGCGUCCAGACGCUCCGGAGGGCGGCGGCGGGAGCAGCCCCGGCGGGCGCAGCAGCGUGUUCGAGCUGCAGGUGGCGGACACCCCGGACGGCGAGAAGCAACCGCAGCUGAUCGUGAAGGGGGCGCUGGACCGCGAGCAGCGAGACUCCUACGAGCUGACCCUUCGGGUGCGCGACGGCGGCGACCCCCCGCGAUCCUCGCAGGCUAUCUUGCGGGUGCUCAUCACCGACGUGAAUGACAACAGCCCCCGCUUUGAGAAGAGCGUCUACGAGGCCGACCUGGCUGAGAACAGCGCCCCGGGGACCCCCAUUCUGCAGCUGCGCGCCGCGGACCUGGACGUGGGGGUCAAUGGGCAGAUCGAGUACGUGUUCGGGGCGGCCACCGAGUCGGUGAGGCGGCUCCUGCGCCUGGACGAGACCUCCGGCUGGCUCAGUGUCUUACACCGCAUUGACCGCGAGGAAGUGAACCAGCUGCGCUUCACGGUCAUGGCCCGCGACCGCGGGCAGCCCCCCAAGACCGACAAGGCCACUGUGGUCCUCAACAUCAAGGAUGAGAACGACAACGUGCCUUCCAUUGAAAUCCGCAAGAUCGGGCGCAUCCCGCUGAAGGACGGGGUGGCCAACGUGGCCGAGGACGUCCUGGUCGACACCCCCAUCGCCUUGGUGCAAGUGUCCGACCGAGACCAAGGGGAGAACGGCGUGGUCACCUGCACCGUGGUGGGCGAUGUCCCUUUCCAGCUCAAGCCGGCCAGCGACACAGAGGGCGACCAGAACAAGAAAAAGUACUUCCUGCACACCUCGGCGCCUCUAGACUAUGAGACCACCCGGGAGUUCAACGUGGUCAUAGUGGCGGUGGACUCGGGCAGCCCCAGCCUUUCCAGCAACAAUUCCUUAGUUGUCAAAGUGGGAGACACUAACGACAACCCUCCCGUCUUUGGCCAGUCAGUGGUGGAGGUGUACUUCCCUGAGAACAACAUUCCGGGGGAGAGAGUAGCUACUGUGCUGGCCACAGACGCUGACAGCGGGAAAAAUGCAGAGAUCGCUUACUCGCUGGACUCUGCGGUGAUGGGGAUCUUUGCUAUUGAUCCCGAUUCUGGGGACAUCCUUGUAAAUACUGUGCUGGACCGCGAGCAGACAGACAGGUAUGAGUUUAAAGUUAAUGCCAAAGACAAAGGCAUCCCUGUGCUACAGGGCAGCACCACAGUAAUUGUGCAGGUGGCUGAUAAGAAUGACAAUGACCCUAAGUUUAUGCAGGACAUCUUUACCUUUUAUGUGAAAGAAAACUUGCAACCCAACAGCCCAGUGGGAAUGGUUACCGUGAUGGAUGCUGACAAAGGACGGAAUGCAGAGAUGAGCCUCUAUAUUGAGGAGAACAGUAAUAUUUUUUCCAUUGAAAACGACACAGGGACGAUUUAUUCCACAAUGUCUUUUGACCGGGAACAUCAGACCACCUACACUUUCAGGGUCAAGGCUGUGGAUGGUGGGGAUCCUCCCAGAUCUGCCACUGCCACUGUCUCGCUCUUUGUGAUGGAUGAAAAUGACAACGCUCCCACAGUUACCCUUCCCAGAAAUAUUUCUUACACCUUGCUGCCACCUUCGAGUAAUGUCAGGACAGUUGUAGCUACAGUGUUGGCAACAGACAGUGAUGAUGGCAUCAAUGCAGACCUGAACUACAGCAUUGUGGGAGGGAAUCCCUUCAAGCUGUUUGAGAUUGAUUCCACCAGUGGUGUGGUUUCCUUAGUGGGAAAACUUACCCAUAAGCAUUAUGGCUUGCACAGGUUGGUGGUACAAGUGAAUGACAGUGGGCAGCCUUCCCAGUCCACCACCGCUCUGGUGCAUGUGUUUGUCAAUGAAAGUGUUUCUAAUGCAACUGUGAUUGACUCCCAGAUAGCCAGAAGUCUGCAUACCCCACUCACCCAGGAUAUAGCUGGUGACCCAAGCUAUGAAAUCAGCAAACAGAGGCUCAGUAUUGUCAUCGGGGUGGUUGCUGGCAUUAUGACAGUGAUCCUAAUCAUUUUAAUUGUUGUGAUGGCAAGGUACUGCAGGUCCAAAAAUAAAAAUGGCUAUGAGGCUGGCAAAAAAGACCAUGAAGACUUUUUUACACCCCAGCAGCAUGACAAAUCUAAAAAGCCUAAAAAGGACAAGAAAAACAAAAAAUCAAAGCAGCCACUCUACAGCAGCAUUGUCACUGUAGAAGCUUCUAAGCCAAAUGGACAGAGGUAUGAUAGUGUCAAUGAGAAGCUGUCGGACAGUCCAAGCAUGGGCAGAUACCGAUCUGUGAAUGGGGGGCCUGGCAGUCCUGACCUGGCAAGGCAUUACAAAUCUAGUUCCCCAUUGCCUACUGUCCAGCUGCACCCCCAGUCACCCACUGCAGGAAAAAAACACCAGGCUGUACAAGAUCUACCGCCAGCCAACACAUUUGUGGGAGCAGGAGACAACAUUUCAAUUGGAUCAGAUCACUGCUCUGAGUACAGCUGUCAAACCAAUAACAAGUACAGCAAACAGAUGCGUCUACAUCCAUACAUUACUGUGUUUGGCUGAAUUCCACUCUAAUAAGAUGCUCCAUUUUGACCAUACUGAUGACCUUGCUGCUCCGAAACCUGCUGGGGCCCUUGGCCGUGGGGUGUCAGCCAAUCACUACUUCUUCCAUUUGUUGUACAAUUUAUUUUCAAAAUUUUUUUCUUAUUUAAGGAAAAUUAGUACGCAAAUAAAUAAAUCUAUAGAAGAAACAGUAUCGAUACAGAAGUGCUCUACUAAUGAAUGUCUAAAUCACCAGUUCCAUCCUCAAGGAGAUGGUUAGCACCUAUUAGAUUGAAUAAUGAAGUCAUUAGGAGAAAAAUCCAAAACUGCAUUUCAACAGUAAUUUUAAGAACUUGGCUGUGUGUGAUCUAAAGAAAAUUAGGGCUUUUACAUCUUUGUGCAUAGUACAUUAAAUUCUGACUUUAAGUAAAAAGCUAAAUUGAUCGAUAUUUUUUAUGUGUUAUGUGAUGACAACUUUUUCCAGGAUCAGUAUAUCGUUCUGUCAGAGGAAAGCAUAUUCUUUAGUUCCUUCUGCAGGUGCCCUUUGAAUGCCAUAGUGUGUGUUCAUGUUUUUACCUAAACACAUAUAUUUAAAGACUUGAACAGUAUUUAUAAAACUGUCUGUGAAACAAAUUCAAGACUUUGAUUUUGUAGUUACAUAGGCACAGCAAUGGAUUCAUAUUUACUCUUGAUCUUGAAAUACUGACCAAAGUGUAGAAUGUUCAAGGUUUGUUUGUUUGUUCAUUUGUUUUGAUAAACUUCUUAAGAGCAUUUGCAGUUUCUCAGAUUUCCUGAAAUCACUGUAGUAACUUUCUGAAGGAGUGUAUGGAUUCCUCUUUUGUGUGCUCACUUUAUAAGAAGGCUAUUCUAUAUGAUAUCAGAUAACAUAAAUUUAAUUCAUUCUAAGAAUUUAGCACAUUACACAAUGUUCAGUGAGCAACUGACUUGAUUUCAAUCAUAUAAGCAACAUUUUGGCUAAGUUAGGGAACUCUUUAGAUGGCCAGUCUACCUCUUCUUGUUUGUAUAUUAUUUCUGUUUUCUUUUUAUGUUGUAUAUGUUUAUGUGGCUUGCCCAAGUAUUCCAUAUGUAAAGUUUGAUUACUGUGUAAUAAAUUUACCAUGCCACCUACUCUAUUAAAAUUUUCUACAAGUUUCACAAUCCUAAGAAGCCAAAUUCUCAAGCUUUUGUUUUGUUUUGUUUUGAAUCAUUAUCAAUAAAAUGCUCCUUUCAGGAAAAAAAAAUAUUUGAGAACGACAUUUAGAGUAUAAAGCGAGAGGAAAUGCACUGUAACCCAUGCAAAUCCCUAAUAUACACUUGAGGAUUUUUAUUCUAUUAGCUGUUUAUUUAAUCUUGCGAAAGGGAAAUGUUCUGAAGUAUCCUUGAGGCUACACUGAAAUUCCUGAGCAAAACUUAAUUAUCCUGAAUCUCUGAUUCUGUUUUGUGCAUAAGGACCAGUGUAAGAGGCUGGUGAAAGAACCCUUACCACUUUCCUGAUACUUGAAAAUGCUUCUUUCUUGGCCUCAAGUAGAAAACUUCCUUUGAUAUAUUUAAAAUGCAAAUCUGGUAGAAAUCACACCAAUUCAAAAACAAGUGAAAGAGAAAAAGUCCACAAUUGAAUUAAUUGAAUAUGCAAUCAGUACAAAAAGUGAUAUUUAUGAAUACUGUCACACGGAGGCUAAAUGUCAGCAUUUUGGAAACUCAGGUUGUAUCACAAUCUUAGGGCAUGAAACAAUGUCUCAACUCUCUGCUACAUUUCAUAGAAAGCAAUGAAAUAGAAAAUUUCCAGCUAUGCCACCAUAGUAAGAAUAAAUGCUGUCUUUUGCAACUUUUGUUUCACUUAUGUUUGUGUACAUGUGAGUAUUCUUAUUCAUGUGUUUGUAAAAAUGCAUCUUAUUGUAGAAGAAAUUGAAAAGUUUCGAGAACUGUAUUGUUUUGGGUGGGAAAUUUUGGCUGUUUACUAUUUUUAUUAGAAAAAAUACCAUAAUAAGUCAAGCUACGGAUUACUAACCUUCCUAGGAAUUUUAGUGUGCUAUUAAAUUGAAACAGAUUGGUUAACAGUAUAACUGUUGUAGUAGCUUAAAAGUAGCAAAAAGUUUCUGGGAAUUUGUUCUUUCUUUUAUUUUGGCUUUAAAAAUGGCAGGAUCUCACCAAGUUGUUAACUUGUCCAGGCUAGGUGGGGAAUUCUCAGUCCUCUUCUUUGUGCCUUCCAAAGUAUUAGGACUACAGGAGCUAAGCCGGGCUUUUUAAUUGUUUGUUUGUCUGUUUGAUCUUUGAGCACAUGUGUUUGAUUCAGUGACCAGGCAAACUACCCUUCUCUCCACUUUCUUGCUCCCAAAUGUCAUCAACCUCCUGUCUCCUGAUGAGUCUCCCUUGUAAUUAUUGAAGCUUACCUUUUGAAGGUACCUGUGGACAGAUGGAGAGAGACUCUAAACAAUCCAUGCAUUAUAUAUUUUAGCUUUAGUAUAUUUUAUUUUAAAUUAUAAGACAAUGAUUUAAAUUAAAAGACAAUAAUUACAUUACAAAAUGUAAGGAAGAAUAUGAUAAUAUGGGUUUAUUUAACACAAAUCAUUCAUCAAAGUGGGGUUUCUUUCUUCUAAUAUGUCUAACAUUAGCCCUAGUAUUGAGUAUGCAAAGAAUAGUAUAUAGAGUCUUAGAUAAUUAAUGUAUUAUCGUCACUGGGAGGCCAGGUCCUGAUGCAGUGGGAAAAUAAUAUCCCCACUUCCUUGGUUCUAUAUUCUUUGUGACCUUGAUGAAAGAAUUCAGUAGAUCCCCCAUAGGUACUGCAGAAUUAUAGGUAGAAUUUAUUGUAAAAUAGAUACAGAGAAAGUUACACUUUCUCUGUGCCAUGAAGGCAUCUGCCCCUGGUUUGGAUGUAUUUUUAUGCACAUAGAAAUUAGUCCUGGGGUUCAGAGAACUACUAUAUUUAUAAUACUUAUUAAGAUUUUACUUAGAAGUUACUUUGAAAUUGCAAAAUAUCUUCCAUCCUUUUCAGAGGGCCAAUGUUUCCUAAAGGUCUUAAAUUACGUUGAGAAUUUACAAAAGGAAAUUUGAGAAAAAUGAGCUGUUCAUUUCAACCACAUCUCAGCUUAAGCAGGAGGGUCUUUAAAGGUUUCCCUUCCUAAUAUCCUUGGGUUGAAGGCCAUGGCAUUCAAGAAUGCAGUCAGAGGGUCAGGUAGCAGGGUGCUGGAAGACGUGUUCAGGGUGUCUAACCUGUAACACAUCAUUGUCCUCUGUGGGGUUGCUUUGAGUGUGGGCAUAACCAAUGAUUAUAAAUAUAUUCUGCAUUGAAGUCUUUCUUUAAGUAACCUGCAACACAUGCCAUUUGGGGGGUUCUCAGCUCUUUUAUCCCUCAGUCUAACUACCUGCACAAAUGUUAGUUGAACACUUGGACAAAGGACUUGAGGUAUGGUGUUUAGGUAGCCUACAAAUCCAUUCACAUUGGGUCUGGAAAAUGCUGUAGUGCCUCCUGACUGUUCCUCUCCUCCUCUGCUGGGUAGGCCUCUCCUCUGUGCAAAGCUUCCUGUGAAUAGCCUGAAGACCUUUCCAUCACUGCAUCACAUGUGACCUUUGCUUCAGUAGCAAAUGAACAAUUCUCUCAUUUCUCUUCCUUCCUUUUUGGUGGUGUAAACAGCAAAUCCUUAAAUAAAAUAAACUGAAGCAAAUAUUUAAGGCAUAUGAUGAAGCACUGGUCACCCAGUAAACUUAACACAUUUUGAGGGGGUAUGAAGAAGAACCAUACAACAUAUGGGUUUUAAGGAUUUUUAAAAUUUUAUUUUCUGGAGAUCUUUAUCCAGGGAAAAAAUAGAUACAUGUACGCCCAAACACAUGCACGAAUUUCUGUACCCGUCAAUUUAUAUAUUCUUACCGAUGAUAUUCCUUCACUCUGCCAACUCAUGCUUGCUGAUAAAGUUUCUAUUUUCAUUCAGCCCAUGGCAAGCAGUCGUUUUUUAAAGGUGAGAGCCCAGCAUAUCUGUAAAGAGAAAUGUGUAGCUGAUUCUGUAAGAGAAGGAAUCCAGGAGUGGAAAUACUCCCUGAGGUGAAAGGGAAGGGCAUUGAGCCUUGCAAAGGAGUCUGGAAAGGCCAGGGGAGCUCUUCCUUUGAAAUGUAAAUGAUCUCUGGAGGAACUGAGUUUAGCCUUCCCCUCACCUGGCUGUAAAUUGCUUUAAUCAGAUAACUAGGUCAGCCCAUCCCAAAGAUCCAUAUUCCUUAAGAAAAGGGAAUCUUGAUUAGGGAAGAGGCAGCCCGCUGAAAUUUUAGGGGACUGAAAGGACCCAAUGUCUCUUAUUACAGCAAGGAACAGGGCUGCAGAGCAAGAUUGUAUCAGAAAGGAGAACCGGGACUGGCAAGGGCAAAAGCAGGCCUGGCCCUGAAGGAUACACUAAAUGUCAGGGUUGAUGGAACCCUAAGAUUAGAGUGGAAAACCCGUGACCUCCACUUCCAUUCAGACCAGGUGUUUUGUGCUGGUUUGGUUUUUGUUUUGUCUACAAUACUGAGUUUCACUGCAUUGUCUCCAUUCAUUUUGUGCUUCUGUACUUUUCAGAGAGAAAGAAUAAAGAGGGGGUAAAAAGUACAAAAGCUUCAUAGCUCAGCAAUCCACCCUCUGCCUACUAUUAUUAUUCAACUAGAGUAAUAAAAAUAGUCACCACUUAUUGAGACAUUAUUGUCACACAAUUGUUUUUUAGUUUUCACUUGAGGAAGCUGUGACUUAAAGAGGACAAUAAUAGGCAUUUUUUCCCCACUGUUGGAAGAAACUUCAAAAAAUUUUAUUUGACAAUUUCAUGAAAUAUUUAUGGCAGACCAAAUGUAAAGGGGUUCCGCUUCCUCCACUCAGGUUGGGUGCACCAAGUAUUCCAGGCUGUGAGAGAUAACAGAUUUCACUUAACUAUGUGUAAUAUUUAGUAAAACAAGCAAGAGUAAAAUGCAUUGUAAUUAUUUUUCAGUGAAAAUAUUUUGGUUAUGUUGUGAUACAAGUCAUUAAGAGUUGUGAUUUUAUGCAUAAAUAUUAUUACCAAUGCAGAUUCAUUUGCCUGUUCGUAGAAUUUUGACUCUAGAGCUUUAAUGGUAUAUCCUGGAAACCUGAAUUUUCAAUGACUUUCCCUUACUCAAAUCUAAUUGCAAAUUGUAGGCCAGUUUACAAAAAUUCUAGAUUAGUGUUCUUAAAAUUCCUGUCUUUUGCUUCCUAGUUCCCUCCUAGAAAGCCUCUGGAAACACCAAAAAUAAGAGCUAACUAAGACACUGCCACAGUCUGCAGCCCUCACUGGUUGGCCCAUGUGACCUCCUGUCACUUCCUUGAGUCCUAAAGCUUCUGGAAACUCCUCUUUUUGUCACUUUACAUAACAACCCCUGUCCUGGCUGCAAGACAGGGUUUGGAGGGGGGGAUCACAUGAAACGUUUGGAUCUUUUUGCAGCACUGUUGCAGCUGAGGAUAAUAUUUCUAGUUAUACAUGGAUAACUCUAAAAUGUUCUGGCAUUACAUUUAUUCUCUGGGAGUAUUUCCUUUAUAUUUUAUUUUUAAAAGAUUAAAGACUAUUUUCCCUCACCACCUGUUUGAAGCACUGUUGGUCUGUUCCUUUGGUCAUCUUCCAAGUCACAGGGCUUUGGUGACAAGGUGCAGCUGUGUGUGGCGCCUCCAGUGCUAUUAACCACUGUGUGUGGAAGGAGCGGAGGUAAUGGGUUUUCAAUUUUGUAGCAUCCUUUUCAUAAUUUAAAAAGUCAUCAUCUUGGGGCUGGGGAUUUAGCUCAGCGGCAUAAGCGCCUGCCUUGCAAGCAGGCAGUCGUGAGUUCGAUCCCUGGUACCGAUAAAAACAAAAAAGACAAAAAAAAAAAAAAAAAAAAAGUCAUCAUCUUUUAGCAGUUGUUUCUUGUUGCCAUACAAUCUUUGCAGGGCCUUUUUCUUUCACUCCAUGUUCAGCAUUUAAAAGUAACAGUUGCCUUUAUGGAGCUUUUAUUCUAUGCCAGUCAUGUGCCAGCGGCUCUGCUUUACAACACCAGUUGUUCAGUGGCAGAUACACUGGACUGUCAGUUUCUCCGUGCCACACAGGCAAACGGGGAAGCGAACCGGCAACCUCUCCUUAUUCCUGCCUCAUCCUACACCAGGGUGCCGUGGAAGUUCCCUCUAAAGUAUUUUUCUCCAUCACUGAGGAGCUGUAUUAUCAUGGUGGUCCUUGUAGAUUUUUAAUGUACAUAGGCACGUAUGUGAGUUUUGGUACGGUUUUUGUCCCAAUCCGUAAUGGCUGCUGUGCUGUUCUCAACAUGUUUAGUAGAGAGUCUGUGUUAGUCUGUUCAGGCAACUGCAAUAAAAUGCCACACACCGAGUAUCUUAAACAACAGAACUAAUUUUUGUAGUCUGUAGAAUUCUUAAAUCAAGGUGGUGGGGUAAAUUUAGUUUCUGAUGAGGCCUUUCUUUCUGGUUUGUAGACAGUCACCUUCUCUCUGUCCUUGGGUGCCUUUUCCUCUGUGCAUGUUCAGAGAGAGAGACAGAAGAAAAGAGGGGAAAAGGGAGAAGGAGAGGGAGAGGGAGACUGAGAGGGACAGGGACAGAGACAGAGACAGAGACAGAGAGAGACAGAGAGACAGAGACAGAGAGAGACAGAGAGAGACAGACAGAGAGAGGCAGAGAGUGACAGACACACAGAGAGAGGCUUCAAUGACCCUUCCUUCCUCUUACAAGGACAUGUCCUAUCAGAUUAGGGUGCUAACCUUGUGACUUCGUUUAAUCUUAGAGCACUAUCUCCAAAAGCAGUCACUUUAAGGAUUAUGACUUCAUCAUACAAAUUUGAAAGGAAGCACAGUUCAGUCCAUAACAUAGUCUAUUUUUGGUCUAAACAAAAAUACAUUAGACUGGACCAUCAUCCCCUCACAAGUUUGUCAUGCAUUACAUACACAGUCUACGUUCCUGGGACUGCAUCCUUUUCAUUUUUGCUUUCCAGAUUAGAUCCAAACAGCAACCUUACACAAGCCCUCGUACAAUUUAUGAAAAAUGGAUAGAAUUCCUAUAUCUUUUGUGAAAAAGUAUGUGUAAAUAAAAUAAUACUUUAAAUCAUAUUUUUUAACUUUAUGAGUAUAACCUUUUGUGCACAUGAUUGAAUGCUUUUUUGUACUUAUCAGCUUUCCCAGAGAUUUAUGGUACUAAAUAGUAUUGUAACUAUUUUAAUUUUGCUAGCCAAUAAGUAAAUGUAAGCUUUCUAAUUAAUGUAAAAUCAGUAUUUACAUAAAAGUCAAAACAUUGUUCCACAAAUGUAACACUUACUUUUAAUGACAAUGCUAAUGCUGAAUCUUAAGUACCUAAGUAUAUAUUCCACCUUAAGUUCCAAAUGGAAUGCAGUAGGAAGUCCCUUGAAAUAAAAAUAUACACUCAAUCAUUCCUUUUCUGUAGGUACAGUCUACGUGAAUUUUUCACACAUGAUUACACUGUUGAUCACGAUGAGAUCCAGUGGGCCUGAUUCUGAAAUACCUAGACCUGUCCUGGAAGUUAGUACUAAACUCUCAGCAAUUCCCCACUUAUUAUUAUUAUUACUAUGUAUGUAUACUGUAAACUUUUCAACAUGAGGCCAAACUAAGGACAAAUUAAUUAAGGAUUUCCUUCAUCUUUUUUUUUUUUUUUUUUUUUUUGGAUAAAAAGUCAGGUGCUAAAAUCCAUAACAAGCAAUCUGAAUUUCUGUAUUCAUCCAGUGUGAUGUGAGGAAUGUGAGGGUGACACAGGACAAACUCAUCAAAGCCUGGGUGAGAUGUUCUCUCCUGUCUUUUGGCUAGCAUUUCAAGGCAAUGAACCAUAAUAGCUAAGUAGAGGUUUCCUAAUAAGUACUUUUCUGAGCUUCUAGUGCUAAUUUACAUUCUUAUCUUGAUCUCUAACUCUCUGUGCAUGUGUGUGUGUGUGUGUGUGUGUGUGUGUGUGUGUCCUACUGGGAAUUGAACCCAGGAUCUUUGCAGUGACCUAUUUUUUUUUAAUUGGGGAGGGGGAGUAGGGCUUUUAAUUUGCCCACCACUUGCAUUCAUCCUGCCUCAGGUUCCCAAAAUUCUUGGAUUACAGAUGUGGCCAGAGAACUCAGCCACCAAACCCAACUUUGACUACUAGCAUUUAUAAGUAAAAAGCUGAAAAUUCCUCUGGGCAAAGAAAUGACAAUAAUUAUGGUGUAAACAGAGAGGUAUGUUAAAAUUGUAUUUAUAUCUGCUUUUCAUUAUAUAUUUAACUGUUGAUUGCAAGGUCAAUUUUAGAUAGAAGUGACAUUUCCAUAGAUGGGAGGAACAAAAGAUUAGUGCCUACGUUUUUCCAAACCCUGUAUAAAAUAUUCAAGAUCACUGAGAUUCACUUUUUAACUUAAACUUUUGACUUUUUAAAAGUGUUUUGCCUUUAAUAAAGGCACAUAUAUUAUAUUUACAUGGGCAUAUAUACAUAUGUAUGUAUAAUAUAUGCACACUAAGGAACACAGUAUUCCACAGAGCAAGUAUUUGUGACUACUAUAUGCCAAGAGUAUUCAAGGUACUGUUGUAGGCAGUGGAGAAAAUAAACCCAAUCACCAAACUAAACAAAAAUGUCCCAUGCUUUCAGUAGCAUAAUAAAUAAAGUUUUCAGUUUCAUAGCAUAAUAAAUAAAGAAUAGUAAUAGCAACACAGUAUGUAAGGAUAGAAUAAAACAAAGAAUAUUAAAAGGAUGAAAAAGAAAAAAAGUAUGAAGUGUUUCUGAGAAACACAGGCAUGUAGAAGGAAGAAUACCGAUCGGUAUAAUUAUCCACCUUACCAUCUCUGGACAUGCACUUUGAUUAAGGUUUAAUGUGUACUAUAAAAAAAGGACUAAGUGACCUAAUUUCUAGAAGAUAGUAAAAGAUAUUAAAAUAGUGAGGUUGAAAUAUCACUGAUGGCCUUCAGAAAAGCAAGCUGUAUCUAAUUUCCUUCUCAUAAAAGAGUUGACUGUGAUAUAGACAUGUCUACUUCACAGAUGUUCAGUGGUUGAGUAGUGGCCUCUGUAGCUGAACUGUCGCUACACAGACUUCAGCUUUCCAUUUACACACUGUGUGAUUCUAAACAAGCUACUCCCCAUUAGUGCUCAUCACUCUCCACAUUAACUAAAUGAAGAGUAUAUAAUUGAUUCAAGUAGAAAAAACAGCCAUUUUUGGCAAAUUGAAAUUUGACUCAAGAAGGAAAUAAAUUUUUUAUGGAGACUAAGAUUUUGGGGCAAAAUUUUUAAACAGCACAUCUUGUUUACAUUUCACAAAAAAAGUCUUGCUUUAAUUUUUAAGGCAUCACCAAUAGUUUAAAGUUAAAAAUGAAUUACUGUCUUAAUUAUGCUUCUCUCAUUGCUGAGACAAAAUAUCUGACAUGCAAAAUUAAGGAAGAAAAGUUUUAUUUAUCUCACAGUUUGUGGAGGUUUCAUUCCGUAAUCUGCUGGGUCUAAGGCAGAGGGGCUCAUGGCAAAGAGCAAUAGCUCAUGACAGAAAAUAGAAAAAGCAGCAAGAGCAAAAUGAAAGGAGCACAAGAGAAGACUCCUUCUGUUCCUUACAUUGUAUGUAGGCUACCCAUCCUAGGGUGGUGUAGCACUCAUACCCAUAAUCUCAGCACUAGAGAAUAAGUAAGUCACAAACUCUAGAUUCAUUCUCCACAAAAAAGCACACACCUCCAUGACUGCAUGAGGCUUUUGGGGGACGUCCAUGUACAAACCAUAACAAUUGCUUAUAAAAAACUUUCAAUAACUUAUGUUUACUUAAGUUAGGUGUGCAUUAUUAAACAUUUAAUUAAAAUAUGACCUGCACCAAUUUCUCAAAUUUGCAGGAGAUAUAUUCAAAAUCCCACAUAGAACCCUCAAAUUUUAGGCAAUACAGAACUCUUUUUGCUUUGUGACACUUUUUCAACUGACCACCUGGCUCAAAAUAUUUAUCAUUGAAACAGUCUUAGACUCAGUUGCAUAAUACCUCUGUGAAUAUUAUCUACACUGAUUUGACUAUUAGAGUGAUUUCAAAAAUUUUAAGAAUCAAAAGGAAUGAAAAAAAAUUUUUAAAUGUGGUGAAUCAACUUCUGAGGCUGUGUUCCUUACACCACUGAAGUACUUACAGGAUUGUGUUUACUCAAUAAACAUUUGUUAAAAUAUUACCACAAUGAGGUUGUUUCCUAUUAAUAGAAAUAUAAAAAGGUAAAGAACGUAAUUAUUCACCAUUAGAUCUCUUAUGAAAUCUUAUGAGUUCAACACAGAGCUCUUUUAAAAGGUUAACUCUCAUUUGGAAAGAUUCAACUUCAUGACACACAGCUCUGGAAAUAGUUUUGGUUAUUGACUAUUGGCCUCAAAUAAAUUAUGCAAUAAAUUAUGCAAAUUACUAGAUCAGUAGAAUAUUAAGCAGAUUAGAAGCUAGAUCAUUUUGGUUCAUUAUGCAAAUUUUGUUUACAUUUAAUGUCUGAAGUUGAUUUAUUCAUUAUCAGUCCAUAAACUUCAAUAAAUUGUCACAUUUUAAAGAAGAGUAAAAGAAGAGAUAAGAUUGAGGACUCAGCAUGAUUGUCACAAUUAUAUUCUAAGAACUUGGUAAAACUCAUUUUUCAUUAUUUGUAUAUUAUCACAUCUUUCACAAGAUGUUUCCUGGCUACACUUGAAAGUUUUUGUGUUUGCAUGUUCGUCUGGCCAAGUGGCAACUGUUUUUAUUCCCCCGUAAUAAACAUAUCAACACUAAGAUCAUGCAGUGAACAAAUAAUAAAAGUGUGUGGUUAUGAAUUGUUGAGAACACAUGGUUAUUCAUCUUAAACUUUAUGAUUGUUCCCUCGUAAAAUAUAAACAACUGCCACUAGCCCACAAAGCAGGGAAUCCUAGAUGCCAACAUGCAUGUCAGUGUUCUGUUUAUAACCAUGAAAUGGCUUAAUGAAGACCUCAGGUUUCCAGUAUGCUUACAAUUUCAUAAUGAUGCAACAUAUUGUUUCCUAAUCACUAGUUAAGGGCACACCCUGAAGGAAUUUAAAAUGAUGAGUGCUCCUGCUAUGUUACCUUGUAGUAAAUAUAGGAGUACCUGCAUGCUGCAUUAAGAGGAGCACACAUACUUUGGAUUGGACAAAUUGAUCCGUAUACUGUUUUGCAAUCUACCUGUGCAUGUCUCUAUCUUUCUUAACUCAGCAUCAAGAGUCAUUGUACGUUUUAGGUCCUAAAGAGAAAAAGUGAUUUGUGUAAGGCUUUAGUAAAGGAAACCCAGAAAAAGUCCUAUUCUGACCUAUUGUGCCACACAUGAUGCUAACCCUUACCUCUGUUCACAGCUGGCCAUUGUGAAUCAGCUUAAUCUUAGAAUUUGUAGCUGCUGAAGGCACUCCCAUCUGCACUACAAAAUUUGUUUCAGUAUUGUUUAAUAUCAGAAAUUAUUCAUCACAGGCUGCCUUAUAUAAAAAGAAAUUGAAAUGAAAAAUCAUUAUAACUAAAAGCAUGGCAACAUAUAAUAUGCCUUGAUUCUGGUUAGUGAGAUCCUAACUGGGAGGCAGAUGCCGAUUUUGUAGGUUUCUUUUGGCUUUGUUUUUGUUGUUGAGGAAGUAUCACUCAACUAUUUCGUAUCUCUCUUUUUUUUUUUUUUCUUUUAAAGAGAAAAAACAAAAAUCAAUAAGUAAACAAUCAAAAAUCAACAACAAAAGCAAAAUAACAACAGAACAGCAACAACAGCAACAGAAAUAAUAGUGAUCUAGGAUUUUAAAGCAAGGUGAUAGGAAUUUAACGAUGGCUGUUAUUUUGCAUAGUUACCUUCAAAAUAGUUGCUCAGGUUACCAGACAGCAUCCUUUUUCUGUUACUAAUUAAUGUUAUACUCUAUGAGAAAUGUGACAAACUGUAAGAAAGUACAACCAUGAAACUUUGAAUAGUGACUGAUGUGAUUUUUUUGACAUAUUAUAGUAAAUAAAGUAUCUUUGAAGAAGAUGGAGAGAGAUUUUAAAAAGUGAAGUAAUAAUGUGCAAAGCUGAACCUAAGUAUUUCCCUGGGAGAAUUGUUUUUUUUUUUUUUUUUUUCUUAAAGAGAAGAUCUUGUUUCCAAAAAUAGUAGUGUUAAGUUGUCACAUUUCACUCCUAGCACUCAUCUGUGAAGGAUUGAAGACACAUUAUUUUAUCACCUUGAGAAAAAAAGACACUGAAAUGUCUUAUUGAAGAAAGAAGAAAAAAAUAUGCUUUAGAACUAGAGAGGAAAGUCUCAAUUUACAAAACGAAAAAAAAAAAUCAAGUAUUUUGCUCAGAGGUCCAAAAAAUGUUUGGCUUCUUCUUCUUCUCCUUCUUCUUCUUCUUCUUCUUCUUCUUCUUCUUCUUCUUCUUCUUCUUCUUCUUCUUCUUCUUCAAUCACUUAAGCUGGUUUCUAGCUAGGCCUUUUUAUUGAAUAAUUGAAAAAAAAUGGAGGAACUUUUUCAUCAAAGGCAAAUGAUAGUAAGGAAAAAAGUAUUAAGGGAAUAUAGAUUGGAAGUUAUAUCUUUCUGUACUUUCAUGAUUGCCUACAUUUUCCCCUAAACUUUUAGUUGAAAAGCUCUGAAAAAAAAGAUCAAGCCCCGAGGAAAACGCUAGGGAAUGAAAUACAGCAUCCUGUGCUUCUUCACCCCCAAGCCUUUCCCUCAGUCUUGCCCACAUUGGCAAACCCUGUAAACUGCCACGAGGAGUUCAAACUGCUUUACAUUUUAAAGCAGCCAAAACUGCCAUACAUUUGAAUUUCAAACUAAAAAUAAUAAAAAUAAAAAAGCAUCACUUUGGGAAACACUGAAAUGGGGGAGGAAUAUAGGCAUUUUUGAAAGGUGAUUUUAGAAGAUGCUGUUAUUAACUAUCUCACUGGAUUUCAAGUUGCAGUGCAAGAUUGCUAAAAUAACGACUUCAGCAAAUUGGAAAUUCGGUUCUUGGCAGCCUUCCUGCGAGGCGCUGGUUGCAGGCAAUCUGUCUCCCUGAUCCUGCAGCCUUCUGGGCAGCAGCCGCGGUUUAUGAGGUGUUGCUCUUUUCUUUCCCCGGUGGCAUCCUGUAAGCUUCUGUACUUGCUCUGUCUUCAUUUUCCCGCCAAGCAGGCUACAUUUUCUCACUGUCUCAAAGGAAGUCAGAAGUCAGUACCAAGCGGCUCAGUGAUAAGAAUAUUUCAAACACUGAAUGGUUGCUCAGCUUCACUAUGACAACUGCCUGGAGAAGACCACAAAGGACUAACAAAUGUGGGAUCAUUUUUGUAUCAGCAAGUUUCUAACAAUCCUUGGUCACAUAACUAAAACCCAGUAACAUCAGAAGUAAAACUCAAGGUUGCCUAACCUGGGUCCCUAAUAAUAACAUAAUUCUAGAUAAAAUAGGACCUUGCAUGAGACUAUAACAAUGUUACUGGAAUUUACUUGCCUACAUGUUGUUGAUUCAUUUGACUCCUAAUUUUUGAUAUGCUGUUGUACCUGUAUACAAAAUAGGAUCUUACAAUCUUGUGGGGGAGACAGUCACCACUGGGGAGGAAUAAUACUGUAUCGGGCUAAGGGUUUUAAUGGGAACCGCAUGUACCCUGGGGAAGGACUUACUAAUUCCUAGAAAUGUUGAUGCUGACAGAUGACUCACAAGAAAAUUAUGAUUCUGCUUUGAUUUCUUUCUACUUCAUAGACUUGCAUCAAUAUUGCAACCUUGGCCAUGGGGCAUCAACUGUGCUCACUGGAACCGAAUUGAAAUGUAUUUUUCUUUGCACUGUCAUUUAUAUCUCAACUGCUCUUGCUCUUUAUGGGUUUCUAAUGGAUUUUUCUUUGAUUGUUAAUAUUAGACUCAGUUAUUGAGCAAUUCAGUUAGCUUCACUGCAUCUUCUUAUUCUGUGGUUUUGACCAAAAUCAAACUUUACUGCUACUGUUCAGUCUGCAUUCUUCAGACUUGGUGCAAGAUGUUUUCUAUUUAUUUUUAGAUAUCAAAACACCUUCAGAAUGGAACUGUUCCUAUCACUGCGGUUCAAAGUAGAAGGACAGAUGCUCUGAAGGAACUUCCAUAGGAGGAGCUGUGUAGAUGCUUUUAUUUAUGGCAGCAUUACUGGAAUGUUUACACCGUCCCCAGGCAAUCUCUUUGAGGAAUGUAACAAUUCAUCUGAGUCAUAAAUUACAUCAUCCUAAAAAUAGUCACAUAGUUUUACACCCUGUAUUUUUAAUGCAUAGUUUGUAGAAAGUGUUCACGUCCCGAGAAAAAUCAUGAUCAUUAUUUUUUCAAUAAUUUAUAGUUAUUUUUAGGUGUUUUCAUUUUUUUUUUUAUUGUGCCCCAUUUUGCUGGAGCACCUACAGUUCCAUGUAUUCUAUUAAUACUGGUACUUGUUGCCAACCAGCUUUCAGAUAAUCCUGCUUAAGUGACUGGUUGAUGACAACAUUUUAGAUAGUGCCACUCCAAGUUAUAUUUCUAUUUCUGGAGGAUACUGGAAGAAUUGAAAUUCCAGAUGUGAGGCUUUCUAAUGCAGUAGCUCAUAUGAGACAUCAUGCAUGUUUUUGUUGUAUCCCUCUUAGUCUCUCAAUUCCUGCUAUUAAAGAUGAAACUGAAAAUAGACUCCUGGAUCCUUGUGUAGGUGGAAAAUAAAUAAUAUGUACUCUUUAUUUAGGGCUGAUGUCACCAAGUUACUAAUUCUAUUUGAUAUAUAUGUCAAAUAUAUACAUUAUAUAAUUUAUAUAUAAAUGUAUUUACAUUAGUGCAUAUAACUGUAUAUUCUAUGUAUAUUCUCUAGAUAUUCUAUGCACUUAUUCUAAAGAGAUUUUACCCUACAAUAAUUCAAGAUCUAGAAUCUCUCACUCCCAGGAAAUAUCAGAAAUUGAUAACUCUAGCCUAGAUAACAAUAGCAAUAAAAAAAUUUGAAGUUGUAUUUUAUCAUUUCUCAAAGUAUUAAAUAGAAGCACCAAGUGGAAAGCUUACAUCUAAAAACUGCCCUUGUCUUCUUGUCUUUCCUUAGGGUAAAGGAGGGUAAAUGGAAACCCUCAAAGGAGAUUACUUUGUGCAAGAAUCCUCAGAUAGAUUUUCUAAGGUUUAGGCCCAAUUGUAAGGCCCUGCAGCGUGAAGAGAGAGCUGAGGAAUGGAUGUUCUGGAACAAAUACUUUAGUGUAGUUUCCCUUCAUAUUUUGGGACCUGAGUUUCCUAGUGUUUUCUACUGUCAGGUUCUCCAGUCUCCUGAGACCUUAAUUUCAAUACCAAUUCUAGAAAUUUGCCCCAUUUACUUUCACAAAAUACUGCAGCACCUAAUUCUCUCAGGGCAGUGGUUUGAGCCAACACAUGGACUGGGAUCUUUUCAUUGAGAUUAUUUUUAUACUGGUGAAUAUUAAUGACUUCGUCUUUUAACAUAACUAAUGAUUGUAGGAAUUAGAAAUUGACUUGGUGCAAAAUUGCUUCGACUUUUUCCAACUAUUGGUGAAAAAAAUUCUUUUCAUUCAGGCACUGAUGUUUCUUUUGUUAUGCCCUUGUCUUUUCUGUUUCUAGGCUUUAGUUAUGUAGUCUAGAAAAUAAUAAAUAGAUACUCACUGUGUUGGACUGUCCACACAGUGGACAAAGGACUUAAUCAUCUAAACCAGAUACAUUAUGUGUCUUAAUAUUUUCAAGAUUUUAGUUCAGUUUUGAAUUAUUCUCCAUCAUAGCAGGCUAUAUUAGAAUUUUUAAAAAGACAUUGAAUGAAACAAUUUGUAUGUAAUAUUAUUAUGUUUUCUUAGGCUUAUCUAGAUAACGUUGAACUGUCUCUAAGAAAAUGGAGACACUCUUUUACUGUGCAACCAGGAAACUGAUCCAUGUCCCUUUUGAUAUUGUCUAACACAAUUAACCAUUAUUUUCCAGGUGUCUUGCUGCCUGCCUUUAGUCAUGUAUGGAUUUCCUAUUGCUUCUACAUGGCCUAAAUUAGCAAGCAUUUCAAAAAAUUGACUACAUUAAAAGUCAACAUGUUGGCAAGACUGUGUUUUUGUUGGAGAAGCUCUUUUCUUGUCUUUUUUUGGCUUCUAGAGACUGCCUAGAUUUGUUGGUGCUUGAUUCCUAUUUUUAAGGUCAACAUGUUGCACAUCUUUGGAGAGUCAUAAUUCUAGCUACUACAGGUCUGACAAGCAAACAUUCUAAACACUUGAUGAAGGAAAUUUAUUAGACUGAAUAGUCUUCAGUCAGACUUUAUUUUUAUUCUACAGUCUUUACAUUCUGUAUUUUUAUCCCCAAGUACUUCUACUGUACUUUAUUACCUCCACCAAAUUUUGCUUUUCCCUCAAUAUAAUGUACUAGGAUUAAAAAAUUUCAGAACAGAGCAUGGUGAAGUGAUUAGUAUUUUCCAUGUAAGAUAAAACAUUUAUUCUCAUAACCAAAGUUGCCAGAUAUUGUGAAAUGUAGGCCGUUACCAUGAUGGCCAGUGUAGGAAUUUCUCUAUUCAGAUCACAGAACUUUGCAACAUUUUCAAAUUAUUUGUUCAGUUUAUCCAAAAAUUCAAAUUCUAUCAUUGUAGUUAGAUUUAAUUUGAGUGAACUGCAAUGAGAAGCAGAAAGAAAUGAAGCUGGGCUUGAGGGGAAAUAGACCUGAUUCUACUUCCCUGAGCUUCCAUGUUUAAAUCUGUAAGUUGAAUAUAACACGGUCUAACCUGUAGGGCUACUGUGAGGGUUAAGUCAGUGACUAAUGUGUAUACAGAAACUCAUUGAAGGAUAGUUUCUUCAUUCUCUAGGAUGUAGCCUGACUGUGAGAUCAUAAAAAAAAAAAAAAAAUCACUUGGUGGUUACCAUUUCAGGGCCAUCUUGAAUAUGGGUAAGAUGUAACCUAUCAGGCUGACUCAUAUCUCUUCUCAUUUUAUAUUCUACCUCUUAUGAUUUUUUUCAUUGCAGGAAUCCAUACUCACCAAUGUUGCACUAGAAGUUGUCAAUAGAGAAGGGGAUAUAUUGUGAAUUAGAGAAUGUAAUUUUGUCAUAGUUUUCCUGAAUGUAUUCGGUUUACUUCCAUACGCACUUUUGUUGGAGAUAGUGAAUGCAACAAGAUGUUCCCCUCUUCAAUGAAAAAUACUCAUUGAUGCUGAAAAAAAGUCAAGAUGUUUCCUUUCAAACCUCCUGAGAUCAGAGCAGGACAUCUAGAAGACGGUUGCAUUAGGGGGCUGGUUUUGUUAGCUGGUUUGAUAUUAAGAGGUAGAAUUUGGCUGGAAGAAGAGGUGAUCAGUGGAAGCAUGGCCUCAAUGAUUCAUCUCCUUCCCGGCCCUUCUCUUGAUUCUGUCUGCUCCUGGAUACCAUGCCUGAGCAGCUGUCUUCUACCAUGUCCCCAAGUUCUGUUGCCUGCUUUCCAGUCAGAUGACUUUGUGCUAAAACCACCGCAAACUGUGAGCCAAAAUAGACUCAUUCUCCUUUAAAUUAAGAGUGUCAGGUUUUACAUUUCAGCCUCAAGGAAGAGACUUAAAGUCUGAUAACAGUUUGUGUCUUCUUGUCUCGAUGUGCAGGUUUUAACAGGUGUUGUUUUCUACUUCUUCAAGGUAGCAGGCAGAGAGAGCAGGAAGGACUGAAGCAGCCUCAGGAACUCUGAAAUGCAUUAAGCAUUUCUCUUGAUUUUACACAAAAUGAUCAAAUACAUGAGCAUGCCUGGAGUUAUUCUAUCUUUCAUUGUAGUCCUGGUGGGCUUUUUGUAGAAAAGAUUCUGAAUACAUUAUCUUUGAAGAGGAUUCCAAUUGUCAAUAAAACAUGCCUGUAACAUUAUUCUUCUGUGAGGAAGAAAAAGAGAUAAUAGAUGACGGACUGUAUCACUCACAUUUAAUAUAAUGCCCAGAGACACUUCUAUGAUUUUUAUUCUCAUAUAAAACCUUGCUGAUGAAACACUGAAAUUGAGGCAAAUAACAAUAUACUCUUGUUCAAUACAAUAUGUACGUUUAAGACAGUUAUACAAUGGGACUUAAGUUAUGAUUUGGGUAUAAUAUAUAUGAAUAUAUAUUUUCAUCUAAUAUCUACCAUAUAAUUAAGUGCAGAAAUACUAGAUUAUUAGUUAUAGCUUUUACUUGCUCAUGUAUAGCAAUGAUUUUAAUAAUAUCUGUUUGUAAAUUUCUGUAGCUCAAGUCAGAUUAAAUGGUGAAGAUAAUUUAUAAAUGGUAAAUUGCUAUACAAGCUCUAAGUGCAUAAAUGCUAAGAAUGAUACUAAUACCCUGCAGGGCACAAGGCAGGAUCUCAUAAUGUAAAGAUACCCUACACAAAUAUCAUUAAUAGCAUGGCAGAGAGAUGUUGUAAUAGCCACUAUGUUCUGCUCCUUGCUAGGUAAGUAGAAUGUCAUUGUCUGAGAAAGAAGAAGAGUUUGGACAGGGCUGCCCUAAGUGACCAUAUAGACUACAAGUUGUGGAGUAAAUAUGCUAACAUAUUUCUUCUCUCUUUUUAGACUGACUGGGAAUUUCCCCCAGCCAAACCCAGCCAGCAGGCAAGGGACUUUGUCAGUGUAGUCUGCACUGGUUGACCAUGUGGCUAGAAAAUGAUCACAGUGACUCAGGGUGAGGUGGACAGCGUAAGUGUGUUCUGGGGCUAAGAAAGAGUAUAUUUAACCCCAACUAUGAGUCAUUGUCUCAAUUUAAUACUCAAUUCUAGGAGACAUGAAGAAAUGAGAUCUGAGGAUAGGAUCAUGUACAUGCAGAAAGAAAAAGCCAUUCAUACAGAUUUACAGAAGAGGAAAAUAAGAAAUGCAUCUGCAAAUUAUUUUUUCAUUGGGGAUGUUUUGCUUAUUAUAUGAAAACAGUCAGAGUCAGAUUGCUGUCUUUGUCAACUGUUUAUGUCAAUUCAUUAGUGCCAAAAUUUUGGAUGGCUUAUUGUCUGCUAGGUACAGAGGAUACAAGAAGAAAAUGUGAAAUGCUACCCAUUUUUUAAGCAGCUUUGGUGUAGCAGAAGACACAGCCACGUAGAGUACUGCUACACUUAGAGCAUUUAUGGGUAAAAUGUUAGAGAAGAGACAUCCUAAUUUUUCCCUAAGGUGUAAAAGGUCUUGUAUCAAAUGUGACAUUGAUAGAGCCCUUCAGGACAGCCAGGUGCUUUCUGACAUAAUGAAACAAUAGAUAGAAUGUCGUUAUUAGAAUAGAAACUGUAGUUGAUGAACUUGUAAAAUUAAGUGGAAUCUCAAUUUCCAAGAACAUUGUGUACCAUGUUGAGAUAUUAAAUCUUAAAGUAUUAGACAAUCAUUAGACAAAUACUGCUAUGAAUGUAUAAGUGGACAUAAGUAAAAACAAUUCCAACUGCUACACACUUGUGUUAUAUGAAUCCCUCACAAUUUUGUCUUUAAAUUAAAAACAUUCAAAAUAAUAUCUUAUAAUUGGUUCUGCACAGAUGCAAUUAUUUCUGAGUGAGCUUAAUUUAUUGAAGAUUUUACUGAGGCAUUUUGAUGUUCAAAAGUGAUAGCACUUAACACAUAUUCUUUGCUAGACUAUUCUGAUUAGUGUGCUGGAGGAUCAAACAUCUCAGAAAUGUUUUAAGAAUAAGAGUCCUUCUUCUAUUUCUUGACUAUAAAUAUUGCUUUAAUCCUCACAUACACAGUGCAAAAUAUUUCCUUUAUCUUUAUCUUUUAGAAAAGUUGUAAAAUAGUCAUGGUUGGGAAACAGAUCUUUAAAAGUUUGUGAGCUGUGUAAUUAGGACUCAGAUUUUAUAUGCUGUGUAUAUCCCUAAAUUUGACACUUUUAGUGUGAAUGCAUAUAUAUUUUCCUUGAUUUCUAUAAACAGCUUUAAUCUUUUUAUUUCUCAUCUGUGUUGGUUAUUUUUCUCUCUUUCUAAGACAAAAUGCCCACACACAAAAUUGAGCAAGAAAAGGUUUAUCUACUUAACUCACAGUUGUGGAAGUUUGAUGUGUAUAUUCCUAAAUUUGUCACUAUUUCAAUAUGAAUGCAUAUAUAUUUGGCUUGAUUUCCAUAAACUGCUUUAAUCUUUUGAUAUCUGUGUUGGUUACUUUUCUCUUUUGCUGAGACAAAAUAUCCACACACAAAGCUAAGAAAGAAAAGGUUUAUCUGUUUAACUCACAGUUUGUGGAAGUUUUAGUCCAUAAUCUGCUAGCUCCAAGGCAGAGUGCCUCAUGGCCCAGGGGCAACAGUUCAUGGCGGCAGGAGCCAACAAACUCAGAGCAAGAAGGGAGGAGCAAGGGGAGAAGACUCUUCCUAGCCCGUGUAUCCUAGGGUUGGUGUAGCACUCAUAUGCAUAAUUCCAGCACUGGACCAUGAAUCAGUCACAAACUCUAGAAGCCUACACCCUUAUGACUGCAUGAGGCUUUGAUGGGGACACCCAGACCAAAACCAUAACACCAUACAACUAAGGGCCAUGUUUUGUAGGGGCAAUACUUUUGUAUAGAGUUGUAGAGUUCAUUUGGUAUGGACAAUCAGAUUUUGAAGGAACUUUAUUAUGGUAUAUCCUUUUAGGCAUGAUUACACACUUCUUCCAUCUGAUAGGCACUUGCACAUCUCUCCUUUUGUCUAGAUAAUAUUUUUAGAAUAAAAUUAAGGAAUUAUUUGGCUAUGUAAUUUUCUUUCUCCCCACUACCAUUUAAAAAUUGUAUUAUUUGCCUGUUUUCCAUAGUAUCUCUGUUUCUAUAAGGAUUUUUGAAAGCAAGAUACGGUUUGUUCUAUAAUUCCUAUUAGAGAGAAAACUGCAUGAUUAUUUUUAAGGAGGAGGCACAUGUCUGAGUGCUCCCUACUCUUCAGUCUUCUAACCUAUUCCAUACUUUACCUUCUUGUCUUGUUGGUUUCUCUGGCUUGAUAGAGGAAGACCAUUGGCGUUUUUAUCCAACACAAAUCAAAGCCAAGGAAUUUGAUGUGCAAAGUGAAGAGACAGCAGUAAUUACCAGGUUCUUUCAGGUUUGAAUCUGAAACAUGAUCGAAAAAUUCUUUGCAAAUAGGUAUUUUAGCCUUACUAUUUUCACUUCUGGAAAAAUAAUCCAAAUUUUCUAAGUUAUCUUUUCAUUUGAAUGUGAGGUAAGUUCACAGUACAAGCCAAUGUUGCAAAAUAUGGGCUCUUCUUUUGCUGGUGACUUUAUUUUGGAAAUCGUGCUGAGUUAUUUUUGUUUAUUGCUGAAGGUUGGAAUCUCAGAGAUUAAUACUGGUAGAAGAAGUUGGUGAUGGAACUCAGAUGUUCAUACAGCCAGUCUUGUCUCAUAUCAUCUUUAGGGGUAGAAACAGUAACUAGAAAUCAGAUCAGAUUGUAUGAGUGAAGCUUGGCCUCAUACAUGGAAGAUGCUUGCAUAAAUGCUAAUUCAUUCUCCAAGAAGUAAAAGAAUGCCCUGUUACUGUAACCCAAUUUAAAAGUUAUUUGACUUCAAAAUGGGAGCACUUGAACUUGUUGUCAUGGAUUUUGGGAAGUUUUGAGAGGAAUAAGUAGUGUUACAAUUCCGGGAACCUUUGAUUAAAAUGUAUUAGUGGAAGUGGAAGAGUUCUCAGCAGGCUGUGAUUAUUGUGGAUAAAAUACCACCAAUGUCAGUAUCAUGCCUGCGUGCCUGUUUGAGUCACUAUAAACAGUUCUAGGCACUCUACAGGACAAGGUCAGACAUUUGCUUACUUCCGCUAUACAGGAUCAUUUCAUUUUUGGUACAUAUUUCAUUUCCCUUCAAGUGUCCUGAGCUGUGAAAAUAAAGAUAACCUUUAUAACCUUCUUUCUUAUUGAUAACAAAGCAGAGAGAAGGGCUCGGUUUAAACACGAUUGCUGUAAUGUGGGAAUGGUGUAUUUUCCCAAAGGAUAAUGUGGUUAAAUUAAAAAGAAAUGUGAAAGAAAUACACUUCCACAUGAAACUCAAAGUAUGUGGCUUGUGAUGCCAUGUGUACUGUAUGUUGUAGAUAUGUUGUAGGCAAGCCCUUCAUGUGGACACACGUGAACAGCAGACUAUCACACAAGUUAGCAUCUUGUGUGCUUGGUGCUUUGUAUAUUUUUGACACACAGUAGAAGGCAGAAUUGAGCUAAACUUUUAACAGAAAAGACACUUUCUAGGCCUUGUUAAGGGAAAAAUCAUUCUUCUACUAUUCAGUGAGUAUUUAUUACACAUAUGCAUUCCUUUUGACUUAUACAUUUAUUACACAUAUACGUUCCUAUUCUCAUGGCGCUUACAAUCUAACUUGCAGUGAAGACAUAAACAUGUAUCACAUAUGUGAUGCUGUGGUGGAGCCUUUUCCAUGUUCCUCCCCACAAAAGUGUUUACCAGAACUUUGUGAUUUCAUUACAAAUAUAAACAAAGAGUGAUAUUGGAAAAGUUGAGUCCUUCUGUGUAUAAUUUGAAAUAAAAUGUGGUUUCAUUUUGGGUAUAAUGAAUUGUACUAAUGAAAGCUUGACUUUACCUAAAAGCGUUAUUAGUGAGAAAAGCUAUCAAACAUAGCAGCACUAUGUGCUUCUACAAUACAUUUUUAUAAGAUACACUGAUAACUGUAUAUAUAGCCUCCUGAAAUUGGAAUCAGGUUGGGCAUCCUGUGCCAAUUUGGACUCAACAAUCUGGGAAGCAUUUUGUUCCCUCUUAUCUGCUCAGAGCCAUCAGGGUAUAUUUUUUUCUACAGGGAGGAGGCUGUAAUAACAGCAACUAGUGUUAACCUCCACAUGACUCACUAGAAUAGGUCCUGAGGUAAGCUUAGCUCCCUAUCUGGCAAACAGCACACUGUCCCCAAGUCAUUUGUCAAAUGAAAAGGAAGGCCAUUGUCAUAUUCAAGCAGCCCCAUUGAUGUGAGUAGAAAUGUAUCACUUUAUUAUGGUCCCUUCUUCUGCAGAAAACAUGAUAUAGUGAUUUAUUUUAGAUUGUUUAGGGUCUAAGGUGUUGUAUUCUUUAAAAAGUUAUGAAUGAAAGGCCUUAAAAUGUAAGAAGUUAAUGUGAAUAAAAUUCACACUCAAUGCAGGAAAUAUUAGUUGGAGACAAUAAAUCUUGUCAAGCUCAAGGUACUUUUAUUGCUGUAAAAAAAAUGAAGGUCACAAAAUAAUCCUAUUCAGGGAGGUGUGUAGACAUUUAAAGUGAUUCAUCACUUUUCAAGUGACACACAUACCUUUUACAGGAUUUCAGCAUUUUAUCUUCAAUCCAAUUUGGUAUUUAAAUAUUUUAAGUCAACCAUUUGGAAAACCAUAUGCAUUUUUUUUUACAUUUUUUUAAUUCUGUAGUUUAACAAGGAAGGUAGCUGGUGGAGAUUUAUAAUGUGUGCACAUAACUGGCAAUGUUCAUAUUUCUUCAACACCUUCUAACAGUAAGGUAUAAGGAAAUCUGUAUUAUUCAAGAAUCUCUCGUACAUCAAUCCCUGGGCAAGGUGUGUGUAAGUUGUAAAACUUUACUCUUAAGAGUGCUGAUGAGUAUUACUUUUCUCCAGUUUUUUUCAGAUGAAUAAACUGAAGCUCUGGGUUUAAUAACAUGCCAAAAUUUCUAGCCAGCUGGGCUGGAAUCUGGGCUGUAUGACUUCACUGCUUCUAAGAUUCAUCAUAGGACUCACCUGCAUUUGUGUUACUUUAUAAUAUUGGAUGAAUGUGUUUGAUCUCACAAAUUUAAGCAACCCACGUGUUUAUGGCUAUAGAUAAUUCUCUAUGAAUAAGGAAAGCUCUUUUUCUCUCCCACUCUCAUGUAUGAAAUAGAAUUUGUUAUUUAAAUGUUUUGUAACAGUCCCUGCUCUCAUCAUCUGUUGGUGGUGGCUGGAGGUACUAGCAGAGCUUUGGCUCGCUGUGUAACAGUUUCUAUCUGUGAAGUUUGCAUCUGAUAGCCUGUUACACACAGGCUUCGUGAGCACUGCAUGUUUCUCGGCUUGUUUUCCCUCACAAAACCAGCCAGCACCCCUGGAACAUCUUCGCCCUUCUACUUGAUUAAGAAAUACUUUCUUUGUGACCAAGAAGGGUCAGCCACUGUCCAAAGAGAACUGUAUGAAGAGAGGAUUGGUUCAUGUCAGUGUCAUAACCCAAGAGGAAGGAAUUAUUAUCAUUCCUCCAUUUCUAGAUGAAGAAACUGAGGCACACAGGGUUUUAAGUAGCCCAAUAUUAUAUAACUAGUAAAGCAUUAAAAGUGAAAUUUGAUCCAUCAGACUUUACUCUUAGACAUUACAUUAUGCAGACAUCCCAAAUUAUAUUACAACUUCUUACCUUUUAUGUCUCUGUGUCAGGUAAGAAAAAGUUUCUGUAAAGGCUGAAUUCGUUGUCAUUAUAUGUCAUGUCACCUUCUGCAUUUCUUCUGAAACAGGGCUUCAUCAAUCAUUCUUUACUUGCCUUCUAUUGUCUCUAUUCUGAUUAAUUCUUUUGCCUCUGAAAAUGCUCAUAUCUAUAACCUCUUAAAAAGUACUAAUUUUACCAUGGCUUCCCUCCCAUCACGAAGUGGAGACUUUAAUCUUAUUUCUUGUUUUUGUUCUUUUCUUUUCCUCCUCCUCUUCCCCGACUCCUCCUCCUCCUCCUCCUUCUUUCUGUUGUGCUGGGUGUUGAAUUCUACAUGGAGCUGUGUCUCCAGCCUUUUUUUUUUUUUUAAUUGUAUACUUGAGAUAGGAUCUUGCUAAGUGGUUAGGUGGCCUAAGUUCAGCUCAAACUUGUAAUCCGUCUGCCUCAGUCUCUCAGAGUGCUGGGAUUACUUGUGCCGCCAUGUCUGGCUCCUAAUUCUUCUCUUCAUUUCCAUUUUGGCUGUGAGCUCUCUGGUCUCUGAUAUAUACCUUAACCCCUGUGACCCCUCUUCUCACUAAGUCACAUGCUACCAAGACUCUUAGAUUGCUCAGCUUGCCAGGCCACUCCUGCUGCAAAGCUCUGCUCCUAGAACUCACCAUAGCAGCUGUCACUCUACUCUGGUACACCCCUCCCUCUCUGGACAUUUUCCCAUCCUCGUUUUUCACCCGUUCUGUGUGGUAUUCCUAAAGAUUUCAUCAGUGGUUACACUCCUUAUUUUAGUAGUCACCAGCUGCCAGAAAGACUUUUAUUUUCAAGUGACAUUUGCUUUCCGUAUCUCUCUCAAGUCUCAGUGUAAUACAUGCAAAAUUGCACUCAUUAUCUUCUUAUUGCUGCACUGCCUCUGCUCCACUUCCUGGCCUCCGUCCAGAGAUGAUCCACCUUUCACGCUGCAUUAAGAAUUAUUCCAAAAUGUGGACUUGCCUUCCGGAUCACCCUGAGCAUUCUGGCUUGUAAAAGCUGUCAGUGCCACCACGUAGGAUCACGUGGUGAUUGAACAACAGGGCGGAAGGGCCUUCGCAAGCGAGGGAACAUUUGUUUCAGAUACCUCGCUCUAGCCACUCUGAGCUCUUGGCUAUUUGCCCACCAGGGCUUUCCCGUUGUCAGCCCUAUGCCUUUGUACAUUCCCUUUUCUCUAUAUGAAGUGUCUUUCUGAUCUUUCUUCACUCCUUAGAUGUACACUCAUGUUUCAUGACUCAGCUCAAAUAUCACUUCCUAUCAGUGCUUUCCUGCCUCCCACACCAGAUGAGUUGUCUCCUUCCUUUAGUCUUUAUUUAACACACACUAAUCACUUUGUAUAGAAAUUAAAUUUUUACAUGCCUAUUCUCACAACAAUGUGACCUUUAUAAGAAAAAGGUUUAUGUCUAAUUUAUCAUUAAAUGUCUAAAGUUCCAUACAUAGUACGCUCUUAAUUACAGCCUAUAGAACAGUUUGCGUAAUCUGAUUAGUGUAGUGAAUCCAUUAGUAAACGAAAAACAUUCCCCAAAUAUAUAAAAUCAUGCUAUGUUCCGGGUAGUGCUCAAAGCAGUAUAAUAUGACAAAGAACAGUGUUAGUUGAAAAAGAAAAUUGAAGUUAUUCUAUGAUGAUUACAUUCUAGUGGAGAGAUGCACAUAAUUAGUGAGAUAUAAAUAAGCAAAGCUUAAAUUUAGGUAAUGACAGUUGUUGUGAAACAAUACAGAAAUAAGAAGGAGCACUGGGGACAGUGAAGAUUGAAAUUCUACGUAUGUCUGUCAGGGAGGGCCUGAGGAUGACUUCAAGCCCUUCCGAGCUUUCAGUGGUACAGUAGUGUGCUGCGGCAUGCAAGCCAUAGGUGUAUACCGUUGACCUAAACUCCAGGAAGGAGCAAUGAUGUGGAGCUUGAGUACUUUUCUACACAGAAAGCACAGCAAAGGCACAUGUAGAAACAGGCCUGAGAUAGUUGAAACAAAGUCUUAAAAACCAGCUUGGCUGGAGGGAAGGAGCUGGGGAAGAGGAACGUUACAAGGCAAAUAUUCUGUGAUAAAUUCAGAAAUUCCUAGAGUUAGCUUAUGUAAAAGUUUUAUUCCAAGUGACAUGGGAAGCCAUUGGAGACUGGUAGACAAGUGGAAAAACUGAUGGAAUUUAAAGCAAUUAUCUGUAGUUCCAUAGAGGCAGUUACUGCUGGUAAAUUUUUGACACAGGCUUUGAAAAUAACGUUAAAGGAUCUGGAUACUGUGGUUUUCUUUCUUCCUUUUUUUUUUUUUUUUUUCUUCUCUUUUUUUGUCUUUGUCUUUAUAUGUUGUCUCUCCAUCUCUGUUGAGAUCUCUGUCUCUGUUUCUUUCUCUCUCUCUCUCACUCUGUAACACACACACACACACACACACACACACACACACAUGCAUAUAUAUUUCAAGACAGUAUUCACAAAGACAAAAGACACUAAUUCUUGGCAACAGUGUGAACACUCAAGGAGAUGAAGAAAGUGCCCUGCUCCACAUCGAUGAACAGGGAAGGAGAAAAGGGUGGCCUAGAUGCAUGCCAUUGCAAUGACGGCACUAAACAACUGGGGAUUGGUCAUUGAUUUUUUAAAUGCUGUUUAAUUUGCAAAGAGGAAAGCAUAUUAAAUGAAGAAUAAUUAAUGUAGUUAUUCUGAUUAAUUAAGUGGUCGUGUUUCUUAGAAACUGUAGCACAUUCAUAUAUAUUCAUAUAUUCAUACAUAUAUUGAUAUUGGUCUCUGUGUUGCCUUUUAAAAUUUUAAUUCUUUGGAGAAGCUUGGUAAAGUUGUUGUGUAAAGGAUGCCAUAAUUUUCUUUAUGUUUAGAUAAGGAAACCAUUUGGUUUGUUUUCUCUCUCAUUGCAGUUUCAUAGUUUCUUCAAGGUCAUACAGUUUUCUGGUGAAAUAGAUGAUAUUGGGUUUUCUAGAAUUGGGUAGAUUGGCUUUUAGGAAAUUGUGGAAGUAAAGAGCCUUGCAAAGAUGAAAAAAAAGCAAUCAAGCAGCCAACUUUAUGCCAUUCUGUGUUCUGUCCUGGAAGAUAAGUUUCUAUUUUUAGGUAGACUGAAAAGAUGGAGCUUGAAUACUAAGUUAUUGAACUUCAUGAGUUAUCUGUAUGAAAGAAUAAAAAAAAUCAAUUGUUAAUUUUUUUUCCUUAACUACAUUUUAUUGUUAUAUAAAUACAUUAAGUAUGUAAAAUAAGGUUGUAAAUAUUCAUAUGCAUUCAUAUAUAAUAGAUUUCAAAGGACCCUCUACACAAGUAUGACUGAGUUUAAAUAAAACAGUAUUUUAAAUAAAUUAACAACAGUGUUAAAUGAAUUAACAAGAAUAUACCAUUUUGAAUUUGCCAUAUACAAAUAUACAUUCUCAAACUAGACAUAGUACUCUUUGCUUAAAAUUCAUAACAUUCAAAAAGGCAGGCUUGUAUUUCUCUUGCUUUGAUUCGCAUUCUCUUAAUUUCUCUAUAAUAAAACCUAGGACGAUGAUUUUCAGUAAAAUCUCACUUCAAAAUUUUGGCAACUCCUCUCUACACUGGAAAUAGUUUGGAACAGUAUACAUACCGAACAGUGUAUACACUAAGGAAUUUUAAAACUUGUAGAAAUAUGGUAAUCAAUUUCAAGUUCAUUGUUUCUUUAGUUUUCAACAUUAGUAUUUCCAUAGGUUUAUGAGACUUCACUCAUCGAAUUUCUGCCCAAAUGUGUUUCACAGACCUGAUUGAAGGGUUGGGAUGUCAAGGAACAAGAAAGAGCAAAAAAGGGGUUUGAGGAACUUCUGACAUCCAAAAUACUCACCACGGUUAGCUUCCUGCCCUCUCACCCUCUCUCUCCAUCAGCUGCUUCUCUUUGGAGUUGGAACUCUCAUUUUAGUCCUUUUGUUUCCUUGCCUCACAUCUUCUCUCCUCUUCCCAUGGUUCUUAAGAGUUGGUGGACAUCUUUCAACCACAUCAAAGAGAAUUUAAUGUUUCUCUCUUGGUCAGUGAUGAAGGUGUCUUGAGAUGUCUGAUGGCUGUGGUGUAUUUGGACAUACGACUUAGUUUUUCCAUGUCUAUAUUAAAUGGUAAUGGUAAUUUAUUACUACUAUUAUUAUUAUUAUUUGUAAGAAAUAUACUUAAUGUAUGUGAUUUUUCUCAACUAUAGAUUUUUCUUUUGCUUAUGCUUUUGUUUCCUGUUUUCAACAUUUUUGCUGAUUCUAUCAGAUUGCAGAAAUAAAAUGACAGAAAUAAAGUCAAUAAAUUGGACAAUCCAGCAAAAUUGUAUUAUAGUAUUUAUAGAACUCCGUAUUGAACAAGUUUAAUGCGUUAUUUUCUCUAUAUGCAUGAUACUCUUCAAAGGGCCCCAUGACAAUGCUGCAACCUCUCAAAUAAGCUUAACUGGUUACCAUUAUUCAAGGAGGGUCCUUCGGUUCUGAUACCUUUCCCUUCAUACACACAAAUGUCUCUGGGAGUGCAUCUCAUCAGUGUAUAACAUGGUGCCUUCUUUCCAGUGAUUUUCAGUAGAGUGCUGUUUAUGUACUAGACUGAGAACUCUCAUUCUUCAACUCUACUUGAAAAAUGAAAUGCUUGCAAAUUCCCCUGAACCCUGAGCUUGACCACUGAGUUGAGUAAUUGCCUAAAGAAACUGCUGUUUCUAAUAUCCUCAUUAGACACUAAGUAGGAAUAAAAAAAUCUCACAGGACCUGGCAGUGAAUGGUCCAGCUGAGACCAACUUCUUGGAAAUACUUAACAUAUGAAGCCAUAGGAAAACAAUUUUCAAAUGUUUUCUGUAAAAGGUUCACUAAGGGACCAUUAAGGAAAUGCAGCCCUGCACUGCAUACCACAGGCCUGGACUAAAACCCUGCUCUUUCAAAGAACACCCCGGGUCAUUCUCAAGGAAAGUACUUUGAAGCAGCACUCUAUAAUAAAAAUAUAAUAGGGGAUACACACACACAUAAGUAGCUAUAUUUAAAUAGUUAAAAAUAUUUAUUUUUACAAAUGUACUCUUCAGUAUCUGCUAUAUGCUUUGUAAUUGUAGCACUCCUUUCAAUUUUGAAUCAGCACUGUUGUAAGUACUCAGUGACUACCCAGAACUAGUGAUUACUGAGUUAACUAGCAGGGGUAGGAGAGAAUUGCUUUUGAACCUAGUAGAUAAGCCUGCAGUGUGGGAAGGAUGAAAUGCAAUCAUGUGAUUGUAUAAAAAGAGGUUUCAAUAUGCUGGAUAUUGGCUAAAUUUGUGAAGCGUGUAUUAUAAAAUCUACGCAGCAGUAAUAUGGGUUAAAUAUGCUGAGUGCUUGAUAGAAACAGUAAACAGUCUGGCUUGAUCAGUUGACUUGCAGAACAAGAGACAUAACUGGUUUGAUAUGGUCUUGGAGCCCACCUGCCCGCCAGUGUCCUCUCCAACAAGGUAAUUAUUUUUAGGCAAUUAAAUGAAGCCCAUGUUCUUUCUAAUGAUAAAGUACCGUACAUGUUCAGGGGACUGUAUUACAUAAGGAUAUUACAAAAUACAACUUAGGAGGAGCUGGAUAAUAUUUAUAUAUUAAUUAUUUAUGCCAAUUGACCUCCUCCUCAAAACAAGCACCUUUGGAAUAGGAUGUUUUAGAGAGCCAGGUUUAAAUAUUGCGUAUUAUGAAAAUGUGGAUACUUUACAUUAAUAGCUUUUUUUCCCAGCAGUUUCUUAUUUCUUCAGAUUAGUGAUUUCUUUUCUCUUGAGGCAAUAAGAAACAUUAUAACUAAUGACAUAAAAAUAUUUACUGAUGAUUAUUUAUCAUUUUAAAUAUGUGAGUGUUAUAGAAAAUUACUAAACUAGCCUAAUACACAGUGCAACUCUGAGUGUGGCAGGGCAGGAUUCCUAACAUUCUCAUUUGUUUAAAGAAGGUUAUUUGUCAAAGUUUAUUUACUCUUCUUCUCCCUUGCUUCCUGAACGCGUGAUAUGAACAUCUUCAUUUAUUUUAGUUCUAACCUGGUUGAUUAAAAAAGGAUUCCCUUUGGUUUUAAUAGUCCUGAAUAUUCGAAGAUCAAUUGUCACUAUUAAAUAAAAAUAGUUUACCCUUUGAGGGUUUUCAAAGACCAAAGAAAAUAUUUAAAAUGGAAAACAUUUGUCUUCUGUUAUUACUGUCUUGGUCUGGAUUGCAACAGAUCUUUACUUUUUUUUUUAAUUUUAUUUAAGGGGGGAAAAACAGAAAAAGGGUACAAGUUAUACAGAAUUUCAAAAAAAUAAACAGUAGGAAAAUCACUAGUUAAUAGAUUACAUAUUGUCAUCUUAGAAAUAGUUGUUCAAGUUACAAAAUUAAAGCAUAUAAAGUGAACAUUCAAACGGUGAGACUAUAAACAGUGCCGUUCAAAGAUCCAAACAAAAAUUCAGUUAAAUAGUUAUCUAUCUUAUAAGCUUAAAUAUACAUGCAGUUAAAUCCUUUAGAGCACUUUAUUGUCCUCUUUUUUACAAUGACAAUUACACAUUUUGGGUUUUAUUACUCUCACAGUUCUUAUUACUUGUUUUUGAAGAGAAUAAAACCAAAUAUGACAUAACAAAACAGAGUCAGUCAAAUCAAAAGGAUGAACAUAGUACAUAAUGUAAAAACAGAAUACAACAUGAUCAACAACGGUUACCAUAAUGCCUCUUGCUAUCUUAAAAAGAAUUGCCUAUCUCAUCAGUUAUAAUAAAAUUGAACAACAGUAAAGAACAAAACCAAUAAAACCAAAACACUGGAGACAUUACAGGACUUCAAAAUAAGAUAAUAGUCAAACCGGAACGGGCAUCAUAGUGAAUCUUACUGUCUUCACAGUUGUUGCCUAUACUCUCAAACUUGGUGCUAUCAAGCAAAACAGAAUAGAGGAAAAUCAGUCAAAACAAGAUGGUGAGAGCAAUUCAGGGUUUCAAAUCAAGUUAAUAGGGAAUCAAAGUGGGCUACUACAAUAUAUCUUGCUAUUUUUUAUUUAUUUUUCCCUUAAUUAAAAAGAUAAAAAUAAAACAAAUAAAUAAUAAAAAUAGGAGAUGAGAUAAAAGAGGACAUAACAACAAAACAGCACAGGUCAGCACAUAACCAUUUAAGCAAAAUAGUGUUUCACCACAAGAUAUCCCGACAUAAAAGUAGUUACCAUAGUGUCUCUUUCCUUGAAAUCUUUGAGUAUAACUUGGUAAACUGUAGCAUCAAACAUAACAGAUCUUUAGAUUAAGGCAACAAGUACUUUGAAAAUUCAAAGUCAGUUGUAAAAUACAGAAUGUAACCAAACACAAAAUCAAGUAUCCAUGUUAUUUCUUUCAGUUAUUAGGAACAGAAUCAACUUACUGGAGCCUUAUUUAUCUAUCAUUAAAAUGAAACUACGUACAAUCAGAAUGUUCCAAACUUGAUUACUCACUUUAAUGAGAAGGGCAUAGAUAAAUGACAAACAGCAAUUUAAGUAUAUUAUAUUUGGCCUAAAAGACAUUAUGGCUUUAUUUUCUUAUUCUCAGUGUACAAUGAUUAAUCAGUGAGUUAGGGUGUCUUAUUUCCUUCUUAGAAUUUUGUGAUUCAGAGAAAGUCAAAUUAGAGUUAAAGUGUUGGGUAGACUGUUCAUCACAAAGAUCGCUGCAUAAAAAAUUCAGAGGAAACAUCUUGAAUGCCAGGAGCUUCCUUAAAUUAGUUAUAUGAGGUCUUCUCCUGAUGUAGAAGACAGCCGUGGAGGCUUAGAAACAUCUCUUACUGUUGAGGGUACAUUCAUUACCACAUCAGUAAAUCACUGUUUCGCCAAGUACAGCUGUUACUCAAGGGUAUAGCUGUCUAGUCAGAAGCAGGAAAUAUAAUCCCAGAGUGCUCUGUCAGCCUGGGAUUUCAGGAUCAGUUUUGUUUUUGAUCUUAGUAUUUCUCAAAUCCCUUUUCAUUAAUGAUGAAAUAGCGUCUCAAUAGCCUCAACUACCAUUUGGAAGAGAAAAGAGAAGAUUAAACUGCUCACAUCCUAGUAAUUUGAUCUCUAAGUAUCUUCUUGCUUUAUCAUAUAUACUUCUAUUUUGGUAAAUUUAGAGAAUUUAAGCAUUAAUUUUCUGUGUAACCUUUAUGUUUUGUAAUGCAAUUAACCUGAAAUACAAGAAAAAACUAACCCCGAAAAAAUAGAGGCUUAAAAAGGAAGGGUGCUACCCUAUGUAUGUAAGAAAUUUCACACAAUUCACUUACAUCUAGAUUUUCUGGCAGAACUGUUUCUUCUCAUUUAAUACAUAGUUGUAGCAAAUACACUUAUUUUUAUAUCCCUGGCUUGGUUCAAGCCGUCAAUUAGGAUCUGAACACAUAGCGUUAGUAAGAUACAUAUUCUAUUGUCAGUAGUAAAUAAUACCCAAAUGUAAGGAAAACAUGUAAGUGAAAGAGAGAACCAUUAUAUGCAUCCAUGAAGGUAAUAUACAUCCAUAACAUCGGAUGAUAUGGGUGAGCAUAAUUAGUAUUACUCAAGAAUCCCUGGUCUGUAUUUAUAACAACUAUGAAUCUUUGUGUAGGCUGUAAGGGUUCAAGUUGAUAUGGAAAAUAUUUUAGAAGACUUCCACUCAAAAAUGGUUAAAUGUGUGCUUAAUGAAUGUUUUAUCAUAAAGAGUUAAUAUUUGUGAGAAUUCAUGGGGCAUCUAAUUUUAAAUAACUAUUCAAGGACAUACUGUUAUCAAGUGUUUAUAGCUUAUAAUUUACCCUAUUGGGUUUAUCUGUGCAACAGUGCUUAUUCAAUUUUUGACUGCAGAUUUUUCAAAGACAUAAAAGUAGAUAUUAUUGUUACGUCUUUAUAUGACCUUGAAAGAAAUGAAGUGUGCAAAUGAAAUUUGUUAACUUUGAAAUACCGUAAGUUUCAGUAGAUUUUUAUUGUUCUAUGGGAUACGUACUGAAGUCAAGUGCUACUUAAUGGGCAAUAAUGAACCAACUGAAUGUUUGCCCUUUUAUCACAUCUGCAUCCUUGCAUAUGUGAUCUGCCUGAGAAGUGUCUUGGACAAGUUAAUAGGACACUGAGCAAGAAUUCAGGUACUUGUGUUCAUGCGAGAAGGAGAGUUGAAAUGGCACUAGGGAGCUAGGGUGUCUCAUUUCCUGCACAUUAUUUCUGGAAAGUACCUAGGAUGAUAAACUUUAGAUUAUGCUGUUGGCCAGCCACCUUGAAAAAGCCCUCUUAUACUGAUACUCAGAUCUCAUUUUACUACUUCAAAUGUGAGCCAAAAAGACUUAUCAGAGGCAUCUGGUGGCUCGUGCAUUAUGUUCAUAGCCUUCUGGCAUGGAAUACAGGUUAUAAAAUGUUCUCAGAAAUUUUUCUUUAACAAUCUCAAUUUAUGUUGUUUUCAUUGGUUUGUUUUAUUUGGUACCCUUAGACCCUUCUGUACAAAGUUCUGCUCUUGCUGAUACUGUACUUUCUUGGGCUUCAAAUUAGAGAUUCUCUAUGGGUUCACCGAAUUAAGGUUUUGUUUUCAUGAUUGCAUUUUCUAUACAUUUUAAUGUUCAUUUUGAGGAUCUAAUUGUAAAAUCUAAAAUGUCGAGGAAAACUAAGUUUAAGUAGUCGUGUGUGCUUAUAUGUAGAUAUUGCACACAAUUUAACCAUUUACUCUGUUUUCCAGUGAGAGUAUGAGGAGUGCAGGUGUGAAAGGGUGAGGGAGGAUUUAAUGGUUGACAGAGUAAAAGAAGGUACCAAAGGAUUUGUGGCAAUAAUGACUUCAGAUGUUCAGGUUAAUUAAUUAGUUCAUCCCCCACUUGUUGUUAGUGCUUUACUAGAAGGUAGUCAGCUCUGUUUAGCCAGUGAAUCAGUCAGAGGGGUGGGUCAAUUAUCCAACUUGCAUAUUUAUAAUUGGGAGACAGUGGGAAGGAGAUAAAUUGCCUUGAGACAAAAAAGAGAACCAAUGACGCCUGCUAAGAGACGCAAGUGGGCUUAGAAAAGACGUCACAGGAAAGAGAGGCUUAGGAAGGUGUCCCAGAGGGAUGGAUGCUUCCCUUUGAAAGUAGGAAAAAGAGAAACUGAUUCUAGUGAAAAGGGCCCUCUGAUUGUAAAAAUGGCAAUAUAUCUCAAGUAAGAUUUAGUAUUAGAAUUACAAAAUUUAAGAGUUUCUCUAUGUAGAAUUUUGAAAUAUGCAACUGAAAUUCAAUGCUAGAUUACUGUUUUCCUUUCUUUUGUAAGAAGUGAUUUGCCUAACACCUUAUCAUGUGGUAAUAGCAAUGGUGUAUGUUUUAGAAUUAAGAUUUUUAUGAUGCAUGCAUUAAUGUAUGGAAGAAAAACAUAAUUUUUAAGUCUAUUUAAUUAAGGUACUGGUGUAUUUAUAAAUGUCAUAGAAUGUUUUACUUGUAGAAGUACUAUAUUAUAGAAAACAAACAUAGAAGAUAUCUAUUUGUACCUACAAGAGUGUGGGUAUACAUCAGUAAAAGAACAGCUUCUUUAUACAGGAAAAAGUCAAGAAGAAAACGUUAUAUUUUAGAAAUACAUUGGACAGAAAAUUAUGAAGAAAUUUUUUCUAGACUACACCUGAUUCAUGUGUUGUGAUAGUUAUUGCCUCUUUAAUCUUUAAUCCCAUGUUUUAGAAUAGAACUAUAUUUUGGAAUUAAUUCAUUUCAAUUGUGAAUAAGUGUAUAAAUGUACUAUCCAAAAUGGUCCUACACCUAUGAAAAUAUAUGCAUGAAGUUUCAUCUGAAAUAUCCAUUUUAGUUAUGUGCAAAAUAUUCUUUGGGCGAGUUUGACAUAUAGCAUGUUUUAUUGAUGUAAUUCUCACCAUUUUGUAAUUCCAUAUUAGGUUUUAAAAAUAGUAGUGGAGUGUAAAUAACUUAGCCAUUAGGAAUUCCCCUAGUAAUACCAUAUGGCCACUCAAAUGUUCAUAAUAUCUUUUUCCUGAGCAGCUAAGAUUACCACUGUCGUACAUUUAAUGAUACAACAUUUAGGUAUGGAUUUGUUACAAAGGAAGAUGAAUUAAGCUUCUUGGGAAUGUAGUUUUUGUUUAAUAUGUUCUCAGGUAAGAAUUAGCAGUCUGCAGUCAUCCACUUUCAACUAUGAUCUAAUGGGAACUCUAGAGCUAAAUAAGAACAGGGGUGAUUAGCCUUUAGUUAGUAGCAACCCCUAGGGAAAGCUUCAGUGCUGCAGGAAGUGAAGGCUAAUGAUUCAUCAAGCGGUAAACUUGCCUCUGAGAGAUUAGCGAACGGGCAACUUCACAGCUCACAGUGCUGCCUCUUUUCUAACCACUCUGAGUUUUGCUACAGAAGUCCAAAGGGCAUUUUAAAAAGAGGACAGGGUUGGUAGCAAAACUGUGAAGAUCUGUUUGAAACUCAGACUCAGAUACAAAUCUUCCUUCCAUUUGGGGUAGGAAUCCUUAGAGGCUCUGCCAACAAUCAGGAAAUCCUUGUCUCCCAGAGGUACUGAGUUCAAAUGAGUUUUAGAAUUUAAACAAAACAGUAAAAUCAGAUCCUGCUUCUGAGGCAUACUGAGGUAUCUACCUUGUGGUUUGGAGCACUGAACUAGAAACUUGAAAUAAUUAAAAAUUUUUUUAGAAAAUCUUCUGUAGUGCCCAUUAGCUUCUGCAGAAUGGAAAAUUAGUACUGUUGCCUUAAAACCACUAAAGGAGCUGGCAAAUUUCCAGUUUGUGUAACUCAACUCUUUUCUUUCAAUGGUAUAGUUUUAUCAGUUGAAAAUGAUAUCCACUGUUCUUUCUCAGAGAAGGUUGUUUAAUAAUCUUUUCAUAGUCAUUGUUAUUUAACAAUGUGGUAUUCAGAAUCAAUGUGACAUUCCAAAGGUAAAAGGGAUAUUUAAAAAAAAAUUUUACCCUAUUUUUGGCUCAGAUAUUCUUCAUUCAUAUAUAAAUCUGUGGCUAUCACUUGAAUAAAUCUAAUAGUGUGCAUUAAUUAAUGAAUAAAACUAUAAAGGUUUGGCACGUGUGUCUUGCUCACUCUGUUCAUUUUUGUCUAAUUUAAAAAUUGCAUAUACAUUUACUAAGUUUAUUGGCUAUUAUCAUUAGUAUGUUUACAUCUUCAGCUGACAUUUGCUUAUGACUAGAAAUGUCAGAACUUUUUAAAAUGGGGGAAAUUAGAAAUUACAUUUCUUACAUAGAUUUUCAGGGACAAAAUCAAAUUUAGGAGGUAGUGAUAGUUUCAGCAGUUAAAAACUGUAGAAUUUUUACAACCCAAUCAAUCUAGUAUUGAUUAGCCAUGAUCGUGUUUCCACUCCCAUACAUUAUUUAAAAUAAUUGAACAUGAUGAGGAACACUGUUGAGGGUCAAAUAAAUGUUUUCAUAGCAAUUACUAGCAGACAUUUCCUUUCCGAUAAAUUCCUUCAAAAUACAAGCCAGGUUGGCAUGUAACUCAGUACAGAUGAGUCAAGUUGUGAGCAUCUACAUAUUUCUGGAGAAACCACUUGCAGAGGUGCAGGCUUGCCCGCACCAGGACUUCCGGUGCACAGAGAGCAUCCAGCCACAUUUGCCUCUGGACCCCACUGACUUGGCUGCAGCACAGCCCCUUAGGCCCUGCUGCCAGAUCAGGUGUGGAGGAGCUGUGGAGCUGUCACUCCGCAUGGCUUCCUGCAAGUCAGCUAUCUCCUUCCCAUCUGUGUGGAUAUUCUUUCAUGCCUCUUAGCUGGCAUAGAAUAUAUUUGUCUGAUAAGCCUCCAUUUGACCUUAAGAUUUCCCAGGUUUCAACUCAAAGCAAAAUUUCUUCAUGCAUGCAUGUGCCUUUAGUUAUGUGAGUUAUUAUGACAUAAUUCUUUGAGUUCUUUUAAGAUAUACUCCACCAUGCAUGUUAGCAUCCAUUUAUGCAUUGGCCUUCCACUUUGGAGGGUCUUAAAUCAUUCAGAACUACCAUAAUGCAAGAAUUAUUUGCUUUGAAAUUUAAAAGACCAAAUGUAAAAUUGCUUAUAUGUAUAACUUUUAUUUUGCUUCACUUUUUUAUAAUUCUCUUGAGAAGUCACUGUUCAUCUGCAUUUACCUUUCAGUAGGAAUUUAUUCAGAUAGUUUUAUUGUUAAUAUUUGGGUGAGCCAUCCAGCAAAGCCAGGCAUAGAUUAAAUAGGUGAUGCUUUUUAUUCCAUAAACAUUUUUUCUUUAGCUAAUGCUUGGUUAUUUAUGCUUUGAACCACUAAUUGGCAUUUUCAGCAAUAUUCCUGUUUAUGCAGCUAAAAUUUAGCUCAAAGCAUCCAAUCCUGCAGGCUUUUCACUUACAAAACACCCAUUGAAUUUAUUAGGAGCAGUGUACUCCUGAUAGCUACUAACACAGGCGUGGUGGGUACUCUUGAGUUGAAAAAUGAAAAGACAGAUGAUUCAGGAACACCAUGCUCUGAUUAGAGGGCCAUUUACAGCUUCCUCUGUUCACAGAGUAACAUCACUUCAUGUUCUGUUUUCAAACAAGUAAUAUUUGUUCUAAAAGGAGAUUCCUUUAGUGCACUAAGUUCCAGUUGUCCUCCCAUGAAACAAUCCAUCGAGUUUCCUAUUUCUGCAAGGAAUAAAUUAUUAUUGCUUUCAUGUAUUUUGGCAAUUUCUUUAUUUAUGGAAGUGUGUUUUGAAAUGGUUUAUCACUUUCUGCUUUUAAACAUUAAGAAUAGUAAGGGGUUCUUGGCCCUAUUACCUGAUGAAUUUGUUAUGGAAACUGGGAUGAAGUAAAUGGACAGGGAAAUGUGUAACUCAGGUAAGAAUAGAGUGCUCUGUGAUAGCUAAUACGUAUCUGUCCUUUUAGGUUCCUUCUCUCCAGUGGUGCUAAUUGAGUGCCGCAUCAGCAGACUAAUCUGGUUUAGAAGUUAUAGUAUCAUCAGUGUUAUGCUGUGUUUCAGGUGAUCUUAAACUAGAAGCUGGUCAAAAUUCUGAUUAAACAUAUAAGAUUGAAAUGCAACUUCCUCCUUGAAAAAUUCGAAUAUUAAAGAAAAAGGAUCAUUAAAUAAUUAUCACCAGAUCUUAUUUGUUACAGCUGAAGCUAUGCAAGGGACACUAAAAGGAAGGGUGGGAAUAUUGUAUACCAUUUAUCUUUCAAAAACCAUCACUCUGGGUGUGGUGGCACAUGCUUGUCAUUUCAGCACUCAGUAGCCUCCAGCAGGAGGAUUGCUAUACCUUUGAAGCUAACCUGGGCUACACAGUGAGUUCAAGGUCAGCCUGAAUUGUACAAUGAGUCCCUAUUUCCAAACAAAACAAGUCAUGAUAUACUACAAAAUGUAUCCUCACUUAGUGCAACUUAUUUUUGCAUGACAAAAUGCCACAAGUGAAAAAGUAGCUUAGACUGAAAUGAAAUAAUAUAAAAUGUAAACAUUAAAUUGGGUCUUCUCAGGGCUGUGAAGGUCAUAUGCCAGAACAUGAGACUAACAAUUCAUAGACAAAAUAUAUCAACUGAAUGCUCUAAAUAAGAAACUCAUGCUAUUUGAUUGGUUUAUUGUCACUACAUGGAAAUAUUCCUUUACAGUCUUCUACAUAAUUUCUAUUAUUUUUUUUAAAGUACUUUUAACCUUGUUACAAAAAGCCUACCAAGUUUGAACAGUCCUAGCUAGAUCUGAAAAUGACUACUGCUAAACCAGGAUUAUGGGGAAACUUAGAAAUUUUUCUUCAUUAUUAGCUAAACAAAACAAGACCAUACACAGAAGCUCUUGCAUUCUGGGACCCAAACCAAAAGCAUUUAGCAAUUUGGCUCUGCCUACCUUCAGAAAACCCAUAAUUUCAUUCUAGGAUCUGGACACUGUGAUGCAGUCAGAGGAUCCUAACAGUUAGGGAGGGCUUAGCAAUUGCUCAGUUCUGUUUCUCUGGCACAUAAGAUCUAAAUUAUGUCUCUUGAGCUCUUUGCUUCUCACAAAAGAAAAAUACAUGGAAAUUUUAUACAUAAAUGCGAUUUGCACUUGUUUUUAAAAAUAAGAUGCUUGAAUUUAAAAAGUUGAUGUAUUGCACUUUCAAGAUUUUAAUUAAUGGUAUAUUUUCUUUAAUUUUUACAGACAAGGAAUCAGGCAAAUAUGUAGUCCUUUUGUUUUUAAUUGUGUAAAUAUUUUUGUUCACAAUAUACUUUAUGAAUUUUUGUUUAAUAAUAAUGGAGUUAGCAAAAUGCUAGAGAAGGGUCUAUAGGUAGUCUUUAUUUUUAACAUUUUCGAUAGCCAUCUUAAUAACACUAAUAAAAUGCUUUAAUAAUAAAAACCAAAAUGAAUAUUUUUAAUUAGCCCACUAGGUUUUCAGUAAGAGAACAUAAUUUAAGGCGCAUUAUUCAAAGAUGAAGAAGACAUGCAACCUAGUCUUUAACAAUAUAUUAGAAAUUCAAGAUCUCUCCCUCCCUCUCUCCUCCUCUCUCUCUUCUAAACCCUUGCAUUCUCUCUUCUUAUACUGAAGAUGAUCUUUUUUAAAAAUUCAUUUUUUCUAUCAACAAGAGGAAAAAUAGGGCCAGAAAUCAGUAUAUUAUUGAUUUUUACAUUAUGUGCUUUAUUAUAUACAAAAAUCUUCCUGAUAGCCUCUGGGUAACAAUCUUAAGUGACAAGGAAGGAGUCUGGUUCUAACUCAGUUUAAAGCUGUCACUUCUUCCCAUCAGACACGUUCAGGAGAAAAGUAUCAUGAGACAGAAAUACGCCUUUAGAGGGACAACCUUUCUUGUUAGGUGUGGUUUUUCUAAAGAAAAAGAGAGAUUGUUGUAUGUUAAUAAGCCUGAUAAUGAUAAAUAUGUAACAUGUUCCAGAAUUUGUGCAUUUAUUGACAGCAUCCUGUAUAGCUGUUAGUAACGUCCUAGAUGUUUUAAAAGUAUUUUUCCAUGCAUUAUUUCAUUAAUCUUAAUAAUUUUCUUAUCAAGGUAAAUACUAUGAUUUACAUUUUAUACUGAGGAAUUCCUGAUAAAUCUUGAGUUACACAGACAAAAGUCAAACUUAUGCCUUAUGAUUUUUUUCCAGAACUUUUGACACUUAAAAACUGCCUCCAUUCUGCCGGUUCCAGUGAUAGUCAAUAAUGUGAAACAUCAAAAUUGAUCAAAUCAAACACUCCUAUUGACCUUUAUUUAGUGUCUUAUGAAGUUUGCUUCAUAAUUACAGUUUUUUUUUUCUUCCUCUUGUCUCUGAUUUGUCUGCUGGCAAAUAUAUCACAAAGGAAUGCAAUAGGUUGCAAGUAAUGGACUCAACAUGGUAAAAUGAGGUGUUUACUUUUUAAGUAAGAUUGUAGAAACAUCAGUCAGCAUAUUUCACUGCAAAAUCAUGAUGCUGCUCUCCUGUGACCACCAUGCUUAGUAUUUGGUUUUCCUUUCAUAAUCAGAAGGGAGCUGCCAUUUCCAAGUCUAUUUCCAUCUGUUUCAGGUAGCUACAAAGAAGAGGGAUAAAAAGGGAAAGGAAAAACUUUCCUUGAACUCAUUUGCUUUGUAUUCUGGAAGGACGCCUAUGCCUGUGUCUUAUUGCCUAGAGCUGUGUCUAGGGCUUUCCCUGAUGCACGCUGGGUCACAGAUAUGUUUGUUGUUAGCUUUGAUGGCAUAGGAAAACAAAAGACUGGAACAUCUUAUACUCACUGUCUUACUGGGACUGGAAGUAAUAACUCAGGCCCGCUACCACAUGCUGCUAAGUCUUCCCACACUCGUUGGCUUCACUAAUGCUUUUUCAGCAUUUUCUUUGCUCAAUUGAAUGACUCCAAUUUCUUUUAACUCUCUUAAUAGGAUUGCCUUCCAUCUUUUUUCUGACCUCCUGAGCCUCUUUCAUUGAUUUCUUCUGAAUCCUUUUCUGUAUAUAUACCCAAGAGGGUAUAUACUGACAUACUCCCAAAAGAAUACCUGAGAAUCAUCUUAUUCUGUGUCCUUUCUUUGCAUUUUAUAGAUAACACUGGAGGGACACAGUUGCAUAGAAAGUUAGUGAACCAAAUGUACUCUCCAAGCCUCCUAACUUUUUAAAGCUCUACUAAAUAAGUUUUUGUUUUAUAUAUGAUGAAACUUAAGAGUGGAGUAAAACCACUGACAUAUAUAAAAUGUGUUUUACAGAAAAAAAAUUUGACGUCUAUCAUCUAAAUUUUAUAGAAUGCUAACAUAUGACAGGCAAGAUAAAAAGCUCCAUCUAAAUCCUCAACUGUUUACUGUGUGUCUGCUCUGGGCUAAGCACUACAAAAGCCAGGGAAACACAUGAGAACAAGAAAGAGAAGACUUUUGCCCUUACAGAGUUUCUGUCCUGGAUAUAUUCUUAUGUGUGUUGUUCAUAUAGUAAGCAGACAUUUUUAAAUGACUAGUCUGCAUCCAGCCCUAAGUACUGGAGAUGCAGUUCAUUAUGUGAAAGACAAGAUUCUUGGUGUUACUGAACAGUGAAGCCAAAAUCAUCCUAUGUUCUAAGGACAUAUGGGGAAGAAUUCGGACCCCAUCUUCCUCUUACUGAUUUGUAAUUAAUUCAACAGCAGAACGCUUCCUCAUAUACAUUUAAUGAUAUAUUUCUUAAUUUGAGGAUUAGAGUAGUUCAUUAGCUUGUUUUUAAUUGUAGUAUAUUCUUUUUUUGGCUUCUAUGCAAUCUAGCUGGAUUUAAAAAUAUAUCUAAAUUUAAGUGGAAAUUUAUUGGACUCAAUUUUAACAACUUUGACUCUUUCUGCCUUUAUUCCGUUGUUUUAUUGAAUUGAACUUCAAUGGAAUCUUUUAUUUGUCUAAGUCUAUUUCUGUCUAGUAAGGAAGUUGAAAUUGAUCAUGCCUUGACUUUGUGGGCCAUCAGAGAACCAUGACAUUCCAAGGUAUUGAUUUUGUGGUGUUAAAGGGUGACAGAUCUAGUGUUAAAGUGCUGAGAGAGAAUUGGGUUUUGGAUUGUACACCAUAAGCAGUGUCAGCUUUUGCUGAGACAUGACUAGCUUUUUAAAGUAAUGUAGGGAGUUAAAAGUCUUAGAUAAUUUUUAUUGUAUAAUCCUGGAGGGAUUAAUUUCAGCCAGAACUGUAUAAUUAUGCAUUUACGGAGAAAAAGUUCCACACAUGAUAAAUAUGCAUACUACACAUCUAAAUAUAUACAACUCAGACUGUAUUAGUAUGUGUGUGCAUGUUUAUGUACACUUUGUGUUAAGAAUAUUCACUUAUUCAUAAAUGUUUCCAGUUUGUGUGACUGAACCUUUCCAAAACACACUUACUUGGGACUUGUUAAUAAUAACAAGUUUAGUUGUUGUUUCUAUACCUUUUUCCUUUCUAUUAAUUAUUUUGAAAUGUCUUUCUGUUGUGCUUUCUCUGUCUGUAAGGUCUGAAUUAUGGUUCCCACAAUUCAGAAAAGCCAGAAGCCUACAAGUUUAAAGCUUGGAGAUUUUUUGUUACCUUCUGGGACAUAGACUGUUGACACAUUAUACUGUAACAGUUACUACACACACGAACUGAGGAAGAGUAACCAUGUCCAUCUUUCACUGUCUCAUUUUUCCAUGGGCUUAUUUUUUUUUUCAGUUUGAUGACCUUUAGUGAAUACAUUGAAAAUAACAGUUUGAUUACAUGAUUAUCGUGCAGAAAAUGCUACUGAACUAAGUCUAUCUUUAGAAACUAAUCAGAGGUGCACCCGAUUCAUGGACUUAAACCAAUCCAUCAUAGUCAUCUUUUAAUUUAUUUCCACAUGUUCUUCCAAGUUCCCAUUCUUGCCUAAGAUUCUGACCUGCAAAGAAGAGUAGAAUGCAUUUUAUAAUGUAUGUUUGUUCUAUUUUCUAACAACGUAAGUAUUUUGCUUAAGCAGAUUUGCUAGGAAGUGACAGCUUUGAAAAAUUGGACACAAGAGCUGCUGGAAGCAUUUCAGUUCCAAGCAAUCUAAAUAGUGCAGAAGGGGAAAAUGAAAUAUCACUGUGUUUUAAAGAUGACAGUUUUGUCAAAGAUUCCUUUUCAGUCUUUGGCUUAAAACAAAUCGAGUAAAUCAAGUAUAUAUCUCUUCAGAAUAUGGAGGAAUCAGGGAGGAAACUCACCUUCCUAUGAGCAUUUUUUCAGAUGUUGGAAAUAAUGUCAUUUUCUUUGCUUACUUUUGGUUUGGUAUAUUGGGGGCUGGGUCAUGAGACUUUUCAAUAACAGUAGUACCCUUAAGGUCACAUAGGCUUAGCAAGUAUAUAAUUAUGUACACAUAUUGCUCGCUCUUCAUAAAUAUGAUUAUUAUUUGUUAUGCAGUUUGGGGGGGCAGGUGGGAAGGAGUGUAGUUAAUUGAAAAUCAAAGAUUAGAAGCUAAAAGUUUCUUAGGACAUGUUAAAGUAUGAACAUUCAUUAAAAAUGUUUGUUUUGGGGGUGUAUUUGGAAAGGUACAGCAAGUUUAAAUAACCUGGCUUUAAGAAUAUUUACCUGUAUUUGUAGAGGCAGAGACUAUUAUCAAGUUAAGAACAAAGACAGGAGGGUGAGACUUUGUGGGUUUAAAAUUCCUGUGAUUCCUUGAUUUUAGAUCUGAGAUUUGGGAUCAGUCAGUUUCUCAGAUCCUGAUACCCUUCUUUGUUGAAUGUAUUACUGAUAGUAUCUGCUUCCUGAAAACCUUGCCAGUAAGCUUCAAACACUCAAGAGAGUGUUAGCUAUUCUCACUAAUUGAAAACAUUUAACUUGUGAGAAAGCCAAAAAUAUCAGCAUAAAGUUUUUAAAAAACAUAAUACUUAAGAUGAGUUAAAAACUCAAAAUUCUCAGGAAUUCUGAAAUAUGUAGUUUAUGUUUCAUUCAGUAGUAAAAGAAUGUUAAUCACGUUUUUUUAAAAAAGCAUUGUUGAAAUUCAUUUAUUGUAAAUGUGUAUUGUGUCUGUAAUGUACAUUGGAAAUCAUAUGAUAAUCACCAGUAAUUUCUCACUUUCAGAUGCCAUACACAGUCAGUAGAUGGUUUUGGGAUUGCAGGUCAUUCUCAGUUGUGAUGCUGGCAUUAGAGAUAGCAGUAAAUGCUAGUAUAAUUUAAUUAUAAUUUUUCCCACUCACCUUUAGCAAGAGUAAGGAAUUUCAGUAUGGUCACUGUUUCAAACUUUCAUUUAGUAUGUUACAUUUAUUAUAUUCUUGUUCAUUUUUGUGUUUAAUUUGUCUCUUAUUAAAGAGAUAUCUGUAGCCUGACAUUAUCUGCAUUAUAACUUGAUCCAAUCCAUAAAACCCCCGGAUUCAUUACAGUAUAUAUUAUUUUAAAAACUUACAACAUGAUUUAUUUAUGCACUUUACUUCAUUUUAGAGCCUAUUGGCUUUUCAUAUUAAUAGGAUUGUCAUUUUUAUGUAUGAUCGACUUCUUGGUAUAAGUUGGCUCUGAGCCAUAAUAUCAUCUAUCCUUUUAACUCUUUGGAAACAUUAACUUAUUUUCACUGCAUUAGUGCAGACUUAAUUUUAUUUCAUGUCCAAGAUGACAAAGGUCACUUCAUUAGGCACCUCACUUGCCUUUCUUCCCCUGUAGUCUUUUGGUAUCUUAGGCUAAGUAUCAUAAAAAAAUGUUCUGCUUCCAUUAACAAAAAGUGAGUAGAGAAGAAAAAGCCAAUUAUUCGCAGCACAUAAAAUCCUUAUGAUAAUUUGGUAGACUUUAAUUAAACUAAUACAUCACACUGCACUUAUAAGACAAAGGAUAAAGAGAGAGAAGCAAAUUGUCUCUUUCUUUCUGUUGAGAAACACCAUAUUGCUUUGUGAUUAAGCUUUUUAAGCCUUGUGACCUAUUUUAAAGUGUAAGAUUUGCAGUCUUCUUCAUGUAAUAGGCAUAUUAAGUAUAUUAACAUCUUUAUGUGGUAUUGAUUGAAACCACCUUCAAAAUUUGUCAUACGAAACUAUAACAAAGCUUGGCUUAAAAUAAUUUUUAUUAACUUCUUUUGAUUUUUCAAAUAAAGAGAAUGUGAAAAUUUAUCCCACAUAUAAAUAUAUUUAUGACAAAGAAUGUUGUUUUGGUAUUUAGUAUAGUUGUAUUUCUUGCAUUACAUUUUUCUUUUUCAUUUGCUUGUCAACUGAUAGUGGUAAUGUAAAGUCCACUAUCAAUUAAAUGGGUGUCUAAGUUUAACACCUGUGCUGCCUGAAUUUUACACCGGGGUAAACUGGGGUUAGGUAAACUGGGGUUAAAGACCAGAGGUCUUUAUUGAAAUAGUCACAUCUUUAAGUCUUCAAAUUCUGUCACCUCUCUGGGUUUCAGAAAUUGUCACUGGAAAAAGGUUUAACGUGGUAGAGGCAAAAUCCAGAUGGCAUCCUUAUCUCUGAAAUAACAUUUGUGCAUUGGUUAUUCACGAAAUUACCCUCUGUGCACUAAAAUCAAUAUGUAAAUAUAUUCAUGUCAAUCUUUAAAUCAGCGUCUUAGUAUUUGCAAAAGUAUUUGUGGAAAAACUUCUGCAAAUUUCUAAUUGUCAGGAAGCAUAGAUUUUUGAAGCUGGUUUACCACAAAUCACUUUAACAUAGAAUCAUAUUUAACAUAGAAAUUAAUCUUUUAUCAGCCAAAGGGAUCACAUAAUCACUGUGCCAAUUCUCACCUUUUAAAUGUAUCCUUUCAAAAGCAGGAAGUCAGUUGGUUAAAUCUGCACAUUUUGUCUUAUCGCACAUGUACAUUUUCAAGUCUCAGUUAAUUCCUCAGACAUUUAUUAUGUUUGUCUUUAGUGGAUCAAACUCUUAGUGGGUUUAUGCAUCACCUGGAAACAAUUUGACUGCCUUCUAGGCCCAUUUGUGAGUAUUCAAGGCUCCCCAAGUAGCUCUCAAUUUUUCAGGCACAUGAUUGCAAUUUCAGUGGCAUUUAAGGACAGCUGAGCUUGCUAUUCACUUCAUCUUCUCAUUAACAUCUAGUCCCUGUUUCUCUCAGCAGCUUAUUGCUUUGGCACAUGCAUACUAGCCAGCAUUGCUUUUGUUUCCAAAGGUGGCUAAUAUCAUGGUCCAAAGAGGAUAAUGAUGAUAGUUUAAGUUUGUGUUAUUUUGCACGUUUAUUACAAGUGUUAAGAAAUGCCCUAAUGCUCAGCUUUGGCCAAAUUUAAGUGAAGCCUUGAGAUGGGGUCCAUUCUGCUUAUUUAGCUGAUAGGAACAUUUGAAUUGAUCUUCAUACCUCUUUGACUCAGAAAAUGUGAUAUGUAAAAUUAAAGCAAGAAAAUAAAAUUAUGAUCUAAUAUAUAAAUGAUUUAAGAUUUUAUAAAAGGGUGUUCUUGCGUAGCAGUCUAUAAGGACUUUAUUACAUUAGUGUUCUCUAUAUAAAUAGCUGUUUCAGUGGCAGACUCUAUCUUCUUGCAGUUAAUGACUUAAUUUUCCUAUACAUUUGUAAUUGAGGGAGAAUUUUGUUUUAUUUUUCCUAUUACACUGGUUCCUACUAUAUGUGACUUUGAACUAAAUAAAAAAAAGUACGGAAAACAACUCAGGACAAAUUUGGAAGGAGAUCUCCAAGGGGAUUUCUCACAGCUUUCUGACCUCAUUGCUUAUCUUCUCACAAAUCCCCCACUGCUGGAUGCCAUUUGCUCUUCUUUCCAUGGAUCAACAGCUUAGACAUUUUUGAAGACCCAGAUUUAAAUUCCAUUUAGGAAUUUAAAAUACUCUUCCUAGAACCCUCACCAGAGUUGCUUCUCAAUUUGAUCUUUCAUAGUUUUACCUACCUAGCUCUUUCUUUUUCUCUCCAAGGUUACCAAUUCAUUUAUUUUCAUAUAUUUAUGUAUCUUUUGAAGAGAUCUUCAAAAGAUACAUAAAUAUUUCCUGAAAACCAGGGCUGUCCCUGAGGUUGCAAGGCAUUUCCUUCUAUGCUAUGUGUAUGACUGGACUCUAUAACCUUUGUCAUUCUUUCUAACACUGAGAUUCCAUGCUUCUAAAAGGCAACUAGUCAAUAAAUAUUGAUUACUUUGCUAUUCAACCUAAGUCAUUCUGUUCCAAGGCCCCAAAUUUGUCAUAUUUUGAAGUCAAGGCCAAGUACUUAUUUUAUUAUCCUCUUUGCUUACAUGGCCAACUGAAUAGUUGACUAAGAAUCUGAAUCUCAUUUUUUAUAAGAGUUUGGUUGAAACUGUUGGUGAAAGUCUCCGUGUGUAUGGGUGUGAGUGUUCAACAUGUGAAAGGCGAGAGGGUUCAGGUUUCCUUUCCUACCAUUUGGCAAAAUUGAUCUUGUUUCCUUUUAUUUCUUUUAUUUAGAUAACUUUAAGGUAUGUUGAAUUUGCUUUUUUAUAUGCAUUAAUUUAAAUAUGAAUAGAUUAUUUACAUACUUAUAAUUUAAAUAAUUAUGAUAGAAUAUGAUAAAUGCAUAGGCUUCUAGACGUGAGUUUAGCAGAUUCACAUAUAAUAAUUUAGAAAACUCACCUAAGUUUGCUUAUAAUUUAGUUGCCUAUUGUAAAAUUUUUAAGUCAUAUCUUAAAAAAAUAUUACAAGCAAACAUAGUGUAGCAGAAAAAAAAUUUUUGAUUAGGAGCCAAAUCAUGGUUUGAGGCUCUGAUUUUACCACUUAUCUAUAUAAUUUUAUAUAAGAAGAUUAAGCUCUCUGAACUCCAAUCCCCUCAAAUACAAAAUGAACAAAAUUAUAAACCUUUCUUCACAAGGACUUUUCGAGGUUAAAUUAGACAUUUAAGUACAGUCUUAUAAUAAACAUUGCAGGGAAAGAAAGAUUUCUUUUCCUCACUUAUUACUGGGUUUAUGGUGCAAGCCUCUAUCAUUAAAGGUCAAGAAGAGAAAAACAUACAAACUAAUUUAAUAUACAAGUUUCACAUAUUUAUUUCUUUUAUUUCAUAAGGAAAGAAAGACCUGAAGAAACAGGUAAAGUUUUAUGCUUUUAUGUCUAGAUUUGAUGGAUGAGCUAAGGGUUAUAAAGCGGGGAGAACUAAGUAAGGCCUGGUGGCUUAGGUUUUUGAGUAUCCCUGUUUUUACAGAGAUAAGGAUGUGUGCUUCCUUCAGAACUGCAUGCUUCUCAGCUAUGCGUUAUCCCUCAAGGGGAAAGUUAUACUGCAUGCUUUGGGGGGAAGGGCUAGACUAGAUUAAGAGAAGAAUUCCUGGUCCUUCUGUCUCCUUGAGUGCCAAGUACCAUGUUUUGUGGUACAGUCUCCUGAGCCCCAGCAGGGUCUGCACAGGAGUUAUAGUGAUUAAAAAUUAUUGCCUUUUGUGGUUUUGAUCCAUUAUUUAUAGGAAGCAGAAGAAAAUAAAAGAACAAAACAUGAUCUGGUACUGUCUUGCAGUCUUCUGCUUUCCUAAACUCUGUGUUUACUUUGUCUGGCUUUUCACUUCAAAUGAUUUUUCUAGUGUGGAAAGAAGGAACACAGGGUGGCCUGGCUCAGCUUCUGUUCUAGUCAGUUAUGUUCUAACAUUAAUACCAACUUCCGGCUUCUAGACUAGGAGCAAACAUCACUUUAGUUUUCUGUGUUGUGGAAUACGCCUUGCUUCUCUUAUGUUACCUUUAGCUUUCUUGACUAUGAACGUUAGUCAAGGAAAAACAAUGAAUAUCCAUUGGAUUCUUUUAUAUUACCAAUUAUAAGGAAAGAUGUUCAAUAGAUACUUGCAUUUAAUGUAUAUUACUUGCAUAGGUGAUUGAUUUCGUAUUGAAACCUACCUUAAAAUAUAAGUGGAACAUACACAUACAUAUCCUAUCUCUGUCUCUCUGUCUGCCUAUCUGCCCGCCUGUCUACCUGUAUAUUUUUUUCUUGUUAGUUUAUGGCCUGGAAGAUUUUUAGAAACACAGGUAAAGAGCAAGUCUUUUCCUGUGUGAGUAUUCUGUAUAGUUCUGAGUCUAUAGUGCUGUUUUCUAACUCAAUUUCCUUCUGGCAGCGGUCACCUCCUGGUGAUCAUGAAGGACUGGAAAAAGGGAUGAGUAAAGCUUUUACAGUUCAACUUUCUGUAGGUACAUUUUUUAAAUUAAACUCUUGCUUUGAUUCAGUGUCUGAGUUAGGAAACGGAAGCUCAAAGAGGUAGACAGAUAGGCUUGUAGGAGAUGGUCCUGGAAUGAUCUAGCUUUAUUGCCUUUGUGUGUGUGUGUGUGUGUGUGUGUGUGUGUGUGUGUGUGUGUUGCCCAGGUGAUGGAAUAAAUUGGGGAUAAAGCCUGAAAAGCAAAGACCGAGGCUGUUCCUCUACAACUUCACCUGAAUUGGACUUGACAGAGAUGAGUGGGCCUGAUUUAGAGGAGCAUAUCUCCUCAAUGGCAGUCAGCUGAAAAUUGCUUCCCCUGCCAUAUUAAUUAGCUGAUUCACAUCAAAGCAAACACAUCCUGGGAAUAUCCAUUUCACUGCAACCCUCACCAACUACCAUUUCAUAACUCCAUUCCCGAGUAGCUCGUGAUGAACUCAGUAAGUGAUUUGAGAUAAGCACUUUUGUUUCUAAACGUUAAUCUUUAAUGGUGAGGAAAGAAUCUAUUUUUCUUGGUUUUAGUGACAGGUGAAUAUUAGUACACAGCUGCAUUUGUUCUGUGCAUCAGAGCUUAAAACCACAAAAACAGAAGCUCACUAUUAAGUAGUUAAUUUAUGAAAUCAGAAUUCGUCUUGUUUCCAAAGAACAUUUUAAUAAGAGAACUUCAUUUUGUUGCAUGGCAGGAUGGUGAAUAUAUUAUUUAAAUGUAUUAUAUUCCUGAGUGUGCUUAUCAAUAAAAAUUGUAAUCCAGGGUUUCAAAAUAUAAAAUGAAACAUUCUGAGAUCACAGAUUCUUCUUCUAAAAAGUUGUUUUACUCUAUUAUUUAUUUAUUGACUACUUUUCAGAAAACUUUACAUAGUGUCUUCCCUGUAAGAAAAGAGAUUGAUUGCUAUAUAGGAAACAGUAAAAAAAAUGAAGCUCUGUAAAACAUGUAGAUUUUUAGAAAUUAUCAGAGGGAUGGGAUUAAUAAAUGCUCUACAAAAUAUUGUAAUUCAAAAGCGGUAUGAUCCAUAGUCCAGAGUUGUAUGAUAAGCAAAAGAAAGAGAUGCCCACAUAAUUUCAGCUUUCAGAACUAGUUAUCAGUGAUGAUAUGAUAUGACAUAGUAUGGCUUACAUAUUUGUUAAUGUACAUUCCCUCAUUAAUCCAGUUAUUUUAUGAGUCACACAUAUGCAGAUACUGAGAAGGAAGCCAUAAAUAUACUGGGUGUGAUGUUUGCCCUUAUGGAGAACAUUGUAGCUACUUUUGUAGGACACAGAAAUUAAGUGACUACUACAGAAAAAAAAAAAACAUUUGGGUAAAUUUUUGAGAGUGAUAAUGUUAUUUUUAAUAUAAUCUUUUCUUUAAAAUAUAUGCUUUCUUAUUGUGACUUUUAAAAUUGAGAACAAAAUUAUGUUCCUAUAUAGCACAUGAUUUAGUGUACAUUAUGCUUUAUAUUUUCAAAAAGUAGAACUUAAUAAAAUGAAAUACAUUACUUAUACUUACAAUACUUAAUAAAAUUGGAAAUACAUCAUAUAUAAUAAGAAUACAUUACAGGAAGACAUAAUGUUUUCUUGAGCUACCCUAUAGCUGUAAUGUUGCAGUUGGUUUACAAAUAAAACACACAAUCAAAAACUCUCUAAUAUUACCUUCCACUUGUGUAUAAGGAACUUUGAAAUGAAAUGUGUAGUGAUAUGCUUUGUAUAAGUUAAAUUUCAUCUUAAGCUAAAAUUUAAAUUGUGCACAUGUGUGCCCUUUUUAUUAGUUACGACAUCCUACAUUACUGUAUGCUAACUUUUGGCCUCGUAGAAAAUAAAAAAAAAUCUUUUUUGAAUACAUAGAAUGUAAUUAAUGAUUAAGAAAAUUUAAACACGCUUAAAUUUAAAUAGCUUAUAACAAUAAUCAACUGUCAGAGUAACUUUAAAUUAUUUUGUGCUUUUGAGUAUGAGCAAUUAAAAUUAGGUGUUACUGAUUUAUUAUACCAUUUUCUUUCAAAAGCAAGUUGAUCAAGAGUUCAGGGGAAGAAAUUAUUCUUUUGUAGGCUUGCCUCUUAUAGACUGAUGUGUUAUUACAUUGGGAAUUAGAUGACUUCUUUCACUUUUCUGACUUUAGGUUGUAAACGUAAGAAUUUUGGGUAGUAAGUGAUAUCAUUUUUACUUCCUGAAAAUGAUUUGUUAUCUUUUUUGGAAAAAUUCAGAUUUAAAACUUUUUCUAACAUCAUUUCCACUACCAAUUGGACAGUGGCGCCUAUGUCUUUGUGGUUUUUAAGACCACGUGUUCACAGAAAUUAAUUACUAUUAAUACUAUUCAAAAAUGACAUUAGCAUCUGUCUUGGUUACUUUACUCUCAUUGCUGAGACAAAAUAGUUGAUGCCCAAAAUGAAGGAAGGCAAGGUUUAUUUAGCUCUCAGUGUUUGGAGAUUUCAGUCCAUAGUCAACAGGCUGCAAGGCGGGUGGCACAGCUAAAGAGCAACCCUCAUGGCGGCCACAAGUGACAAGAGCAAAAAGAGCAAAAAGGAAAAAUAUACUUCCUUCUCUCCCUUAUAUUGUAUGCUGGCUCCCUGCCCCUGGGUGGGUGCAUCAGUCACACCACCAAUUCCAGUGCUAGACAAAGAACCAAUCACAAAUGCUAGAUUCAGUCACCUCAAUGGCUGCAUGAGGCUUUGGGGGAACACCUAGGCAGAAACCAUAAGAGAGCCAAAAAUUUUGGAGAUGUAUUUAGUAUCAUUUUUGUUUGUGAAAAAUAAAUAAGAAGUUGGAAAACGUUGUCUUUUAACAGUAAUUUUUUAAAAAAAUUAUUAGUAUGUGUGUGCAAUAUAUUAUGAUCAGAUUCACUGUGGGGAGAUGGCACAUCCCCUUUCCCUCCCUUCUUUUCCUCAUCUCUCCAUCUCUUGGUACGUUUCUCUUUUGCAAGAGAUCCUGUUUCCUCUUGCCAUUUUGCUGUUUAAUUUAUUUAUAUUUUGGGUUUAUAUAAGAGAAUGAGUGGAUUCUUUUUCAUACAAAUGACUCGUGUAUUCCUCUUUAUGGCAGCAUAGUACAUCGUUGUGUACAAAUUCCUUAUCUUCAUUAUUGAUUCAUGUGUUGAUGGACAGAUAGGCUCUUUCCAAGGUGCAACUUCUCAGUUGUAUGCAUAUAUCACUGUGAUAUGUCUUCAAAUAUUUCUAAAAGAUACUAAGAAGGGAAUAGCUGGGUCAGAUGGAAUUUCUAGUUUUAGUUGACAUUGAAAGGUAGAGUAAUUGUUUCUGAACGAUGAUCAGCCAUUCAUUUGUAGAUAACCUGCAAAUUGCCUGGAUUUCUGUGAAGAGAGAAUGAACAAUCUAAUGAUUGUGUUUAAAGGCCAGACCUGCUUUGAAGGAUGUGAACAUUCAGGUGGAUACAGUGCAGACCACGAAAUCCCCUGGCUACAUUGAGGAAUCCUGUAAAAUGAAUGUAUAUGCUCGUAAGUGAAAUACAUGCCAUAUUCCAACUCAAUAUGUUGGAUCCUAAUAGACUUGGAUUUAUCUUGUGUAAAAAGAAAAGGAUUUUCAAGGGGCUGGAUGACUACCUAAUUAAAACAAAGCCCUGAUUUUGAAGGAAACAAAAAUGGCUUUAAAAUAGAUCUUUGCACAAAGGAAUCAAACUAUACUUUGCAAACAAAUGAAAGAAAAUCAAGCUCUCAAUAUGGAAUAAAAGAGGGAUGUGAGAGAGGUUUUGCAAUCUUAUCAAUUACUGUGGAGAAACAGAAUCAGAUAUCACCAUGCUCAGGAGUCUGAAAAGAAGAACAGGACAUCCUUUUUCUUCAGUUUGCACUUGAAUGAACCCAAGCAGAGAUUGGAGAUAUGCACCCUGUUCCUGUUUGUAGUCAAUAAUGUGGUGAUAAAUGUAGAUAUGAUUUUAUUUUCCUUGCUUGAACUUACUGGAUGUAUAUGUAGGAAUCACCUGAGCCUGUGCUAGAUCAACAAAGAAAAUGGAAAUGUAUACCUCAGGACCAAAUCUAAGAAAACUAAACAUUCAGUACUAUCCAAAAAGCACUAAAAAGAAACACUACUGCUGAUCAGGGAGGGUGAGAAACCAGUGGACAUGAGAAGAAAUAAAAUUGAGGCCAUUCUAAUAUGUGUUGAAAUGUAAUUUAUUAUGUUAUAAAAUCAGAAUGAUAGGUCCCAGUAUAUCACCCAGGAAUUUUAUACAAUUUCUGAUUGAAUUUAAGAUUAACCACACAAGUGUUCCAGGAAUGUAUGGCCAUCAUAGCAGUAGGAAACUGGCCUUUUAAAUUUGUGGUCCUAUGCAUUAUGAAUAUAGAGGAGGGCCUUUAUUAUUUUGUUAAUGGUGAAUUGCAUGCAGGAUGUACCUCUUUGCAUUAUAGCUACUUGCUUAGCUGAAGAUGCUGUAUAAAUAGAAAGCAAAAUUUUUGUAUGGAUGUGAAUGUAUGUGUCUGCAUUUGUGUGUGUGUGUGUGUGUGUGUGUGUGUGUGUGUGUGUGUGUGUAAGUGAAAGGUGGUAAAAUUUAAUGCACUUUGGUUUGUUACCUAGAAUGUAAAGAGGUUGAGUAAACUGUCUUAAGCCAUUUCAUCUCUGUUAUUAUUAAAGAUUAUUAUUCACAAAGGAAGCAAUUCUAAAAUAGAAUGACUGCUGCAAAAAUAUUCCAAUUAAAUAUAAUAUUUAAUGCAAUUGAGCCUUUUAAAUUAAGAUGGUACCCGUGUCUGAAAAUAAUGAGAGCAGGCUCAUGAAAUCAGUGUACAGACAGUUGAAAAGUCGUAUUAUCAUCUGUCAGCCUGCUUUGCUUAAUGAAAAGAUGUGAAUGAAUCUUGGAUGCUGUUAUAGAUGAGCUGGGGAAGUAUCUAUUUUUUAACUAACAUUUUGGUCCUACCAACAAGUAACAUGUGUUCUCCCAAACUUUUAUUUAAUAUAAAUUAUAUAGCAAGAAAAUCAUAUGUUAUUGAGAUAAGAUAGUGAAUAUUUGAAACAGAUUGAACUAUUUUUUGUAGUCACCAUGUGCCAUAAUAAUUUUGAAACUGUUGUUCUCUGAUAUUUGUAAUGAUUUCUUUUUUAAUUAGCUUUAUAGUUGAAAUUUUUACCUCUUCUUCUAUGUGACAAUCAAUUGCAGUUGGUAUCCUAUCUAUAAUAUUACAGGGAUUUUUGUCUUUAUUCAUGCUGGUAUUAUAAACAAUGUCUAUAAACUGUAUGAUUCUAUUGUAUUGAAUAUUUUCUGUGAUCAAAAUAAUAAAACUAUAAGAAGGCUAUAUUUCCUACUUUAAUAGUCUCUUCAACUAUGAUGAGAUGUAACAUGUGUUUACAUUGCUUGUCUUUAGACUAUAUCCUCUUUAUUUCCAAGUUGAGAACAAGAGCAUAGAUAAUACAAUAAGAGAAAAGGGUUGAUGGAGAAAUUUGAGAGAGUCUAAAAACAAUGCCUGACAGGUUACUUAACAACCAGACCUGAGGGACACAUUUGAAGUUUUUGGGUACACAGACCUCAAGGGAGUUUUGGAUUUAGCUUUCAAUUUUAAGGUAUUUUCAAUUAAGUUCUAAGGCAUUGGUACAUUAGAAAUACUACAAAAUGUUAUCUAACAUUAAUUGCAUUAAUAAUCAAUUCUGAUUAACAAUGUUAAGAAAAUCAUGUGUCGCUUCCAGCUAACUUGACCCAAAGCACAAUCCAUGCGGUAACACUAAGGGAGACUAUGAGUUCACAGUUAUUACUUCUGUGCUCUUCAUUUACCCUAACGGAAAUAUAUACCCAGGCAUAAACAAUCAUGUUCUAGGGAAUUUGUAGAUCCCCCUAAGUUAAAUGAAACAAGCAGCAUGAAACUACAAAAUCGUUCUGUUUGCAAAAGAGAAAACAUUUUUGUUCUCCUUUGGUAUUCCCUGUCAGAAUAUGAAAUAAGAGAACCAGUUUUUCUUGUUCUUUCCCCUCCCCCGAGGAUUGAUCAGCACAUGAAGGUCUCCAUAACUUCAAAGACAUUUCUGGACUUGGAUCAGCUCAGUUGAGUUCAGAGGAGAAGCAAACACUAGCCCCUGAUGUUUGUGCUGUAGGCUCUUUCAUCUAAUGGUAAUUCCGUGCUUAGGAGAAGCAACAGGCAGAGAAGUGUUGUGACUGUUAUAAUUUCACGAUUAAUGUUUAGUCUCAAAGUACCUGACACAAAAAAUGGCAUUUCUAUUUUAGUUUCCUGCUACUACUCCAACCAUUGAAUGCCAGGAAAACCGUCAGAAGCAAAAUGAAAACACAUAUAUACAUAUUUAAAUAUAUGAGUACAUAUAUAAAACAUUCACAUAAAUAAAUGUACAUAUAUAUGUUAUAUAUAUAGGGUAUAUAAUAAAUGCGUAUGUAUAUACAUUUGUUUCAGCAUAGUGACUUGCAAAUUAUUGUCAGUUUCACAGUUUCCCAGGUAGUGUGCAUAAUCAUCAGGGGUUCUUAUUUAGAAAAUUGAUCACAAUGAACAUUUUUAUUUAAUUAAAUUUACAGUCACUUAAAGAACUAAUUUAGAAUAUAAAGUCUAAAUUUGUCACAUCCAUUUUUGACUUUACAAGAUCAGAUGCUUACAUGGCAUAGUUGGAGACAGCCUUUCCCACGCUCCACUAUUCUAAAAAUCUUCUACACUUUCUUCUUGCCUCUAUUUGUGACUAACCCUGGGUCAAGAAAAGAUAGCUAUUGAAAGUAUUGAAGCAACUGGGAAUGAGAAUUGCCAAUUGAAAAGCCGUGUUCAGAAUCUAUCCUUAGAUUUUCAUCAGAAGGAACUUGUUAAGAAAAUAUAAAAUACAUUAUAAAACAUUUUGAGGAUUAAGACAUUUGCUUUGAAUUGUAGCUAUUAUUUUGACUGCUAUUAUUUUGCUUCCCAGUUUUGAUCAAUAUGAAUGAGUUGAACUAUUGUUAGUAUUUCUCUCACUUUUUAAACUGAUGUUACUGAGAGUCAGCUCUAUGUAGGCAAUAAUUGAGUCGCUUGAUUCAAUAUUCUUAUCAUCCUCAUGAAGCAGGUAUCACUAUUGUCAUGAUACCCAUCUUACAUGUGAGGAAAUGAAGCACAGCGUUUCAGUACCUAUUAGCCAGAGGUGGAACUGGGCUUUGAACUCCUCCCAGUCUCCUCCUAGAAGUCACACUCAACACAGAGCUAUCCAGCUUUGAUGACAAACAUCAAUAUAAAUGGCAAUACAAGUUAGGUUCUGAAAUUGUUUGGGGAAAGAGGGAUGAAUUAUUUGUUCUUUCGGUCACGCAUCAGCAAGCUGAUCAAAAUGUUACCAACCUUCCUGACUUAGAUGUGCAGAUAUUCAAAGGAUCUAGCACAUAGAUGUAUUGCAUAAAAUGGAAGCUGGUGUAAAAGUUGACUUUAAAUAUUGUAGACAGGAAAAAAGAAAAACUAUUCUUCAAUUCACUUGGUUUGUGGGUUCAACAAAUAUUAUAAAUAUGUAUAGUAAUUUCAUUGAAAAUGGAGAUUUUACUGCUAGAAUCGAAGAGGACGGAAGGAAAUAGCAACUGACAAGGAGAGUUUAUAAGCUAGUUAAGACACAAGUGCAAGGUGUUCCAAAGUCACAUGCCUCAGUUAGCAGGAAAACAGGAAAUAAGAGUACAGUGUUUGGGAGCCAGGCUGCUUGGGUUUGAACUGUAAUUCACACAUUCACAAAAUGGUGACCUUGGGACAAAUUGCAUCUUCCUGAAUCCAUUUCUUCAUAUGUAAUAUAAAGUUAAUUGCAGAGUCAAAUUCACAGUUUAGCUGUGAUCAUUAAAUGAAAUUAAUGCAAUCAGUGUGUGGCUGGCAUAAGAAGAAUCCAAUAAAUGUUGGCCAUUAUCAAUUUUUUAUUGUUUAUAACGGACAUAAGGACCGGGUAGAGUGGUUGCUGGCAGAUAUUCAUGGCAUCAGACAGACCAGUGUCACUGUCGCAAGGUGAAUUGAAAACACUUAUGGAAAUGGGAAAAUCAAAUUUUCAUUAUUAUCCAUACAUUAUGGUUUAAAACUCAGAAGCUUGGACAGAUACAGGUUCUCUGGGAAAUUUCUUCAGGCUCUGAUUUGCUGUAAUACAUUUUUUUUUUUUGUUAAAUUCCCAUGGAAAUUAAGGAUAAUGUUGAUUAUGGUGAUCAGUGAAAAAACGAGUGGUUGUUAUUAUUGACAAAUAUUUAAUAAUUGUUUAUAGUAUCAGAUGAGACUUUAUUUUCAAACGCAUUAAGGAUCAAAUAUGCUUUGGAUCUUAGAUGAUAUGGUCUUUUUUUUUUUUUUUUUUUUUUUUUUGUCUUUUUCGUUUUUAUCGGUACCAGGGAUCAAACUCAUGGCUGCCUGCUUGCCAGGCAGGCGCUUAUGCCGCUGAGCUAAAUCCCCAGCCCCUGAUGAUAUGGUCUUAAUUGUAUGAAAUGGAACCAAAGCAAAGGUUUGCUGAGUUAAAUUAACAUUUAGUAUCUGAAAAGUCAGUGAUUUUUAUUUGAAACAUAGUGAUUAGCUAGCAUGUAUACUAGCAAGGGUAAAACAAACCACAGUUGCCAUCAGUUUUGCCUAUUUGAAACCACUGUUAAAACAUUAUAUAUUAAUUAACACUUCUGGAUUGAAAAUAGGGUCCUCAUAUAUAGUUCUGUGGCUUUGGUAAUUCAUAAUCUUCUGGUUCAAAUUCAUAUCUCAGCUUAGCACUAAACAUCUAAGAAAUGCAAAAUCAACUUCAGAAUUUUGUUAGCCCACUAAUUUCAUUUACAUUUAUUUUUUAAUGAAAAAUCUGAGUACUCUAUUUUUAUUGUUAAUACCACCGAAUAGCUUAUCUUUAUGCUGAUUUUAUGUGGAUUCCUACUGAAAAGUUAAAAUUCAUGUGAUUAAAAAUGAAUAUCGUCCAGCUUAUAUCCUGUUCGGGAAAGGACGGUCAUUUCCUAUUUUAAAAGACUGGAGCUGUGAAAUCAGGUACAGCUCAUCUUGUUCUCUGUUACUGCUCAAUUGUGUCUGUGAAAAUUCUGUCUCAGCAGGAGCUGAGGGGGAUCCAGGUCUUUAAUCUUUCUGUUCUCUGUAACUGGAGGGUCAACAAGUUAUUUUCCCCCCUCUUAUUUAUUCAGGCUCAUGAAAGAACCAGACAUUCGGUAUGUGCAUUCCAGAAAGAUCAGAAGGUGGCUGCCUCCUGAUAAUGUACUACGAAUGGGCUGAGUGCCAAUGUGAUAACUUUUUUUGGUUUACUUAAAAAAACUUGUGUAUUUAUUAAAUAAAAAUUUAUGUCAGUUUGAACCCAAAAUUGGGUUGAAAAUCUGAUAGUGAGUUAUAUAACUGAGUAAAUUAUGUGUUAUAGAAAGACAUUGUUAUUACUCAGGAUACAGAGAAAUUUUUCAUGUAGGUCUUUUUUAUAAUUUUUUUGAAGAAUAGACACUUAAAUGUGUCGCUAUUUAGUGUGAAACGCUCCUGAAGUGUUUGUGAGGCAGACUUCCAGUUAUUCUGACUUUACAGAUUGUGUUCAAAUGAAUACCAUGGGCUCUAAAAACACAGGAGCUUUUAUUUUUAAUUCCCCAUUUUUAAUGGUAACCAAAAAUGUAAUCUGUGUCUUACACUGGGCUGAGUAAUCAUGUGGUCUUGUCAGCUGAGAUUAACAUUUGGAUUAAAAAGCAUGAUUACACGAUUCUAAAUUAGUGGUUACCAAAUGGAAGUGACACAUACACACAGAAAACAAAGAAGUACAGCCGUCCAUUUCAUGCAAUAUUUCUUAGACCAGUUAAUUAGUUCUUUAAUUAACAUGAUGUUUCAGGUAGUGAUCUAAGCCAUUGGUGCUCCCAGUAGGUUUAAUAAAGAAGUUAAAAAAAAAAAAAAAAAGACAGUUUUAGAACUGUUGAUGGCUAUGUCAUAUGUCACCAGAGUGAGGAGCAACUCUUUAUUUUAAAAGAAGAGAAUGUACAUAUGGAAAUUUUUUGAAUCCAGAGCAGAUAGUUUAAAAAUUCCUUCCAGAAAUUAAAAGCAUACCCCAUAACUAUUGUGCAAUAGAAUUAAAUGAACUAUAUUUUGAAUCUCAAGUGACCAUUGGUGCCUAAAAAAUUCACUUAGAUUUUUAAACAAAAGUAUCUUUUACUAUUUUGGGAGCAAACAUCAAAUAUAUGAAUGCGGGUAAUUAUAUUUUUGAAUAUAUAAUGUAAUUCAUAGAAUUCUAUUAAGAGCCAUUGAAAUGACUUACAAAGGAUAUCAUUCUGGAGAAUCACAAUAGAACUCUGCCUUUGGAUAGGCCUAAGGCGGGGAAAAUGUGUCCUAGAGCUAAUUUCUCAUGCGCAUGACAUGAAAGCAUUCUUCCAUCCCCUCUCCCUUCCCCAUCGAGAACAUAUUCAUAUUAUACAUGCCGUCUUUAUUACAUGGCAUGCAUGCUUUGGCUGGGCCAAAGAGAUCAUCUGCCAGAAGAUGGGUUCUUCCUUUUCAAAACAGCGUAACAGCUGGGCAGUAUAAUUGUGUAUAUUAAGCUAUGAAAUGUUGCACACAGUUUGGAGAUGUGUUUUCAUUUUACACUUCUCUCAAUUGAAAACAGACAAAGAAUAAAUUACUUUAAGUCUCUAACUAAUAUCUAAUUCUGCAGAGAUCGCUUUCACUGUCACUAGAUGCUGUUGGCUUCUCCUUCUAUGAUUGUGUAAUUAAGCUAUGACUUUACUUUGAGUCUGUGUCAUGUAGGAGGUACACAGAGGACUCUUUUUUUCUCUCACAAUUGUUCCACAGCUUUUAUCAGUUAUUGUAUAGAUGCAAUUAGAAAUGUUACUGGGGUUAUUAUGUAACUUAAUGAUAAUUAGUUGUACAAAGAACUACUUAUUUGAGGAACCCAAAUUCAUAUUUAUGUAAAACUCUGUAAGAACAAAGUCAUUUAUAUUUUCCUGUCUUUUCUUUAUGAAAUAUGUUCGUUCAAAAGGUUACAUUUUUGUUUAUAGGGAAUUUUUGAUAAUGACAUAAUAAGUAUAUCAGUAUAAUGGAUUUUUAAUUGGUGUCAUGUAAUUAGUUGGAAGUUCCAUUUCCUGAAAUGAAGAUAAAUGUGAAAUUCUGAUAUAAAAAUUGCUUAGCAAGCAUUUAUUUUGAGACAAACACAAAGAAAUUUAUAUUUAAAUUCUUUUUAGUUUUAUGCUGUUAAGUUUUGGUCCAGUGUUACUGGACAGUGACUUGAUAUGAGAGUGAUUUUUCGAUUUGCAUUUGUUCACUGUCCACAGGACUUAAAUUACUGUGUCUUGUCCUUCCUUGACAGUCUUUUGGAAGUACAGAAUUGAAAGAUGCAUACUUGCUAAAAGAUGAAGUGUUUGGUGCAUGAGUUAUGAAUCAGUCUGAAUAAUAUUGGCCAAUAAUAUUGGCCAAGUUUCUUAAUUUCUCUUGCUUAAAUGAACUAUAGCACACUGUUAUAACAUUAUUAGGAAGCAUGGUUCUGGUAAUGUAUCAUGUGUAAAUUAGCGUACAACCCUGAUAUAAAGUGAGCAAUUGUAAAUAAUAGCUGUUAUUAAAGAAAGAUUUGGAAAUGUGACAUAGGUCACAGAACUACUGUCUAGUGGAGCUACGCUUUCAGAAAGCAAUACACAACAGUGCCUGUCAUACUGUAAGUGCCUCUAAGUGACAUCAGCUAUUAAACACAAGCACCUAUGUUUUCCAAAGUUCUUACAUUGAUUAUAAGCGUGGCUUGAAUUUGAAAUACAGAUAUGUCCAUCUUAAAAAUAUUAAUUUUCUUCAAUGUUUUAAGUCUUGAAAUGAUUUGUUGGAGUAGCCUUUACAGCCUUGACACUGAGCUUGCUGUUUUGCAUGACUUUGGAAAAGGCAUGUUUUGAAAUUGUUUAGAGCAUGCAUAUAAGAAGUGCUAAUGUAUGUACAUUAGAAUGUAAUAAAAAUGAUCAGUGAUCAACUCA